AAACCUACCACCAGAUUCUCAAGUUAUGUGAGUAAAUCAGUUCUCUUUUAGCUAAAGUCAGUUAGGAGUGAAUUUUCUGUCAAUUGCCUUAGAAAAGAGUUCUCGCUGAUACACUUGUCCUUAAUACCUUUUCAAGGCCAUAAUGCUGGGACAUAGUAAGUACAUCACUUACCUGAUGACUAAUAGUGGAUGCAUACCAUAUGACAUCAAUUUAUUUUGCUACUGCUACUGGGCAAGGCAAGGGGGGCCUUAAUGUUAUCACAUAGGAAGUGGCAUGUCAAAAUCAAGUGGGAGUGCCUGCUGUGGGUUAAACUUCCAGGAAUGAUGCAACUCUUCUUGCCCCAGUCAUUAAGCCUUUUUUUCUUUCUUUCUUUUUUUAAUGUUUAUUUAUUUUGCAAGAGAGAGCACGUGAGCUGGAGAGGGACAGACAGAGACAGGGAGAGAGAGAAUCCCAAGCAGGCUUCACGCUAUCAGCUUAGAGCUCAGUGUGGGGCUCCGUCUCACAACUGUGAGAUCAUGACCUGAGCUGAAAUCAAGAGUCAGAUGCUAACCGACUGAGCCACCCAAGUGCCCCUAAACCUGGCGAUCACAAGAUAGAAAUCAACGGUCAAAACAGGAGACGUGAAACAUAGCAGCCUUUGGUCCCUAUAUAUCUCCCACCUCUUUAACGCUGCAUCUGCCUCUAGCCUCCAGUCCUAGCCAACUAAAAGUAGUUCCCCAAAUGGCUCAUGGUGCUUCUUCAUGAAUUAGUAGCUUGGCACUAGCUCUCUCCUCAAGGCUGGACUGCAUUUCUCCUACAAUCUACCCUUUGAGACUCAACUCAGCUUGUGCCCCAGCCUCUGUGAAAUUUUACCUGACAGCACCAACACUGCCCUGCUCCUCACACCUGGCCAUCCCCAUCCUCUAAAAUUGAGCACUUACUGUGUCACACUCUGUACAUCCUUCACUGUGACCCAUAUGCAAUUAUUUGUUUUAUUUGUCUCUCCUGCUGGACUGAGCUCCAUGAGGGCAGCAGUUCUCUCCAAUUCUUCCUGGAACUUUUGGGGACCUGGCUGUUAAGCUAUCAAAAAUUCUUUGUGAAUAGUGGAAAUAACUGAGUGUAUGAAAUGAACGAAUGCAGAAACAGAAGGAGUCAUACAUUUUCAGAGCUGGGACCUUGGAGUUCACCUAAUCCUUAUGAUCAAGAUAUUGAUCAAAAUUCCUAUCACAAUAGGAAUUGCAAGGUUAUACAUUCUAAGAGAGUACAAUGUUAAAUUUAAUUAGAACUCAUUAUAUAAUCAUAUCCUUUAUUUUAUUUUUGCAUAAAUAUAGCAAUAUAUUACAAAGCACCUCUAAGAAUUCUCAUUCUUUAAACUUGGCUACCUUUCUUCUCUAUUUCAAAUUUAAGAUUUUUAAAUUCUCUUUAAGUAUUCUAUUUCCUAUGCAUGUCUGUUUGCUCCUCAGACCUACACGAUAUUUGUGAUUAGAUAAUAUUUUAUUAUAACCAAGAGCCAAAACAUCAGUUCAAAUAGCACGUGAAAUGAGACACUUAACAGAGCCAAGCUAAUUAUAGUUGGAAAAAGACCCUCCACCCACCUUAUACAAACACACACACACACUUCAUAUCCAUACUCUUUAAUAAUUCCAGGAUUUCAACAUCUUUGUGUAGGAAGGGAGUUGCUGUCACUUGAAAAGGUUACAGUAAUGCAUCCUGUUUCCUAUAGACCUAUAAGAAUCUGGGCAUGGUUAGAAGCAAGAGGAUGAACACAGUGGGAAUCGACAUGACUGCAUAAAAAUGUAGCCAGUUCUCUCCAUGAAGGGUAGACUUAGUACAGAUUAUUUUCUGGGAAAUGUUUCUUUUUUUUUUCUUUUUUAAAUGUGAAUUGUCUUUGAUAAUUAUUCUUUGCUUUUGGAGGAUUUGUAUGUGUAGAAUCCAAUAGAUGAUCAAGAAGAAUGAGGUGGCAAAUCUUCAGUGCUACAAAUAGGCAAAAGUAGAACGACAAAUGCUACAGGGACUACAUUGUUAGAGACCUUCUGUGUUGCUUGACUGAGCCUUCCAGAAACGUAUUGUUGCAAAUAAUAUCCUGUGGGUUGCACUGGUUGGGAAAGGGCGAUGAACCCUCCAGGAGAUUCAACUACCAUUAUUAGUGAAGUAUAAGGUAGUAAAGAUACAGACUGUAGAGCAAUGGAGGAAGGUGCUUUCUUUCUAAGACGAAAAUACACAGGGUGGACCUUGAGAUUAAGGAGUGAGGCUAGGAAUCGGGGUAUGCUCUUAAGGAUCUCUGUGUAAAUAUUUCACAUUAAGUCUUUGGUUGCCCUUAUCUUUGAACUAUCUGGAAGUUUUAUUUUGUGAACAGUUUUUAAUCUUUCCUCCAUGUUGUAAUCCCCUUCAUUUGUUUCCAAUCUUUAGUUGUUAUUAACACCAGUACGGCCUCCUGUGGUGGGGGGUGUGGGACAAUCAAAGAAAAGAACAGCAUAGGAAAGUACAGCCGUCUGCAUAUUGCACCUCCUCAGGGCUGUAGUGUUGUGGUCCUCACUUAUGGCAGUGGUGGGGGGGAAAUGGGUGGGGGUGAGGGGUGGAAAAAGAGUAGUGGUCUGAGGAAGAGCAUGGAGAACAAGGCUCCUGAAAGGACUGUGAAUAGGCAGAUGACUCAGGAGCAGACAGGGGGGUGGGGGGUGGAGGGGUGGAGGGGCAAGCGAUGGCGGCUGGGGUUGGAAACGUUCUUUGUUUAAAGGAAUCAGAGCUUCCUGUCUAUUCUACCUUUCAUUACUGAGUCACCAAGCCUCCCCUGCUGUCCUCAAAUCUGGCUACUUUUUCCCUCUUCCUUCAGCUUUCAUCAUUUUUUUUUUUUUUUACCUAGAUUUUGGCAACAGCCACCUACAUUGUUUCCUGUCACCAGUUGCUUCCUUGCUCUGGUCUGGUUCUCCUCCACAGCAUUAAAGAGCGCUGGCCUAUGACCAGUGCUCUUACUAGUACUUCCCUUAAAAAAAUCCUUCUUUCUGCCUGCUUAUUGUCUUGGGGAUUUCUUUUGAAAAGUUGGCACCUUUCAUUUGGAGACUUAGGUAUUCAAAGCUAGCAGAUACCUGUUUGGUUAAGAGGUGCCAUUAAAGUCAUUUGUCCUGCUAAAAAGGUUCCAUUUAAAGAUUUACCCAUUUAAAGAUUACGCAAAUUUUCAGUAUUGAGGCAGGUGGCCCCACAGUAGAAGCAGUGAUGUCCUCGAAAAUCUACUUUGUUUAGGAAAGCAGAUAUUCACAUACUGAUCAAAAGGCUUGUGGGAUAUGCCUCGUUGACAGUUCUAUAAAUCCAUCAAAUAUUUCUGUUCAUAGAUGAAUCUGGGUGGAGAGAGAUGGUAAUAUGAUAGAGACAAUGGUGGGGUCUAUGAACACAGAUUUUGGAUACAAAUAGAUUAAUUCUUGGGCUUGGCUCUUUACCUCUGUACCUCGUUUUAUCCUGUUAUAUCAUGGGCUUAGUAGCACACACAGCCCACUUAAUUUCCUGAAAGUUAUUUAUAGCAUUUAAAAAAGUCUUCUAUGAAGUUAAUUUCAUGCCUGAAUUUUUAAUACGCAUAAUGAUUUAUAAACACAUGGAAGAGAAAGGAAGAGCCAGAAAAUAUGCCCCUUUAUGCAUCCCAGUAAGUCAUGCCAUUGAAAAGGGGCCCAGACACAGCUUUGAAAUCCAGUCUGGAGUUCCAAUUAUCCCUCUCUUUUCAUAUGCUUUGUCUAUCAUGAUUGAAUGGAUAGCAUAAAACUGAUAUAUAAAGUCUUUUCCUCAUCUAUAUUGUAGAGAAGUACACCAUUGACGUCUUCAUACAUGUCAUUAAUAUGAGAUUUCUCCUAUAUCAACAAUAAUGUGUUAUAAUACAUUCAACUUUGGUAUUUAGUUUAUAUGCCUUAAAUUCAAAAGCUCUUCACCCACUACUGCCCACAUAUGCUGACAACUGUUCUGAUCCCAGCAGGAGUAACAGAUUUUCUUUCUGAAGCGUUGCAGAACUACAACCAGAGUGUUAUUAUUAGAUGAAAGAUCUCAUACUGGUUUUGCGAUAGAGAAAAAAGAAAGAAUCGAGAUGAAAAUAAUCUAGGCUAUUUAAAAAUGCCCCACAUUUUCAAAAUUGUAAUUCAGUUGGGUUUUCAAAGGUAACAUAUUCAUAUGGCUCAAAGUUCAAAAGGUAAAAAAUUAUAAUCAGAGAAUAAUUUCUAUCAUAUCCCUGUUCCCCUGCCAUCCGGUUCUUCCAGACUACACUAAUGUUAUAAAAUGUUUGUAUUUUCUCCCAGAGAUAGUCUACGUAUAUACAAGCAAAUGUGGACACACAUAUGUGUUUAAGUAUAUAUCUUGUCUAUUUUCCCUUGACAACUUAUUUUGGAGGUGGUUUUGUAUCAGUACAUAUAAAGCUUUUAAAUAAUUUUUUUGGUUGCAUAGUAUUCCAUUUCAGGAGUAUACAUAAAUUAUUUUACCAGUGCCACGUGAAUGGAUAUUUAAGUGCUUUCCAAUCUUUUGCUAGAUAUCCCUAUAUGAUAUCCCUAUACCUACAUCAUUUUGCCUCUGGACAGGUAUUUCUUUAGCAUAAACUCCUAGAAGUUGAAUUUCUUGGUUAAAACUAUGUGUUAUAAUUUUUUAAGGAAUGUAAUUUAUUCAUUUUUGAAUUGUGAUAAAAAAAUCAAAAGGAACAAAUGGAUACAUUUUGAAAAAUAACUUUUUCAUUCCCCCUUUGCCGCACCACACACUUCCUUUCCCCAGAAGCAAAUAUGCCUCUAGCUUCUUGUAUAUCCUUUCAGAGAUUUUACACACACAUAAGCACACGCACAUACAUAUCCGUAUGGACAAGAAUGCAUAUAUAGGAGAACUUAUUUAGUCAGAUUUGUAUUUUUUUUAUGUUUUAUUUAUUUUUGAAAGAGAGAGAGAGAGAGAGGCAGUGCACAAGUGGUGGAGGGGCGAGAGAGGGGGAGACACAGAAUCUGAAGCAGGCUCCAGGCUCUGGGCUGUCAGCCCAGAGCCCUAUGAGGGGCUUGAACUCAUAAGCCAUGAGAUCAUGACCUGAGCCGAAGUCGGACACUUAACUGAGCCACAUGACCUGAGCCGAAGUCGGACACUUAACUGAGCCACCCAGGCACCCCCAGAUUUGUAUUUUAUUAUGUACUGUAGUCUACAAGGAACAGAAGGCUCUUGCAAAAAUGGCUGAAAGGAUUCAGUGUAACCAUUUAAGUUAGGAACAUACUCUUUUAUUGCUUCAUACACCAUCAUCAUUUGAAGUGAUAAUUCCACUAAUUUUCUCUAUGCACAUCUGUUCUGUGUAGAGGAAAAGGAGGCUAUAAAGAGCCCUGCACUGUCCUCAGCCAAAAAUCAUCUGAUGAGAUCCAGUCUGGAGUUUGCUCUGUAUGCCUGGAAAAGAGCAGUUACUCUAUAAUCCUAUCCUCCUUAUCAAGGGCUUCUCUUUCUCUUAUGUUGGAUUCCCUGUUCCCUCUGGCCCAUGUAAUCCUCUUUUUUAUAGUGUUCUCCCUCACUCUUUCUUCCUCUCUCUCUCUCUCUCUCUCUCUCUCACACACACACACACACACACACACAGAACUACGCAUUUUCUCUCCCUUACAUCUUCCAGAACAAGAGUGUCUAGGAGGUAAAUUUUUUGAGAUCUUGCAUUCUUGAAAAAUCUAUUUAUUCUUUCCUCCCAUUGAUUGGCAAUAGAGUUUUAGGUGGGAAAUACAUUUCCCCCCCCAGAAAUUCAUAGGCAUUGCUCCAGUCUUACUGUUAAGAAAUACAAUGCCAUUGUAACUUCUGACCCAAUUUUUUUCCUUUCUGGAAACAUUUGUGAUCUUCUCUUUGUCUCCAAUAUUUACCAGUGCCAGUGAUAUGCCUUCAUGUGAUUUUAUUUUCAUCUAUUAUAUUGAAUACUGGAUAGGCCUUUCAGUCUGGAAAUUAAUGUUUUAUAGUUUUGCAGAAUUUUCUGAAUUAUUUCUGGCAUUUUUAUUAUUUCACUAGUAAUUUCCUCUUGAAUGCUCUUUUUUCUCUUUUGCUACUUUUCAAGUACAUACAUAUGUUUAGGUAUACGUGUGUGUGUGUGUGUGUAUACGUGUGUGUAUACACACACACACACACAUACAAGUAUGUAUAUAUUUGAAUUUGCUAUAUAUAUUUUUUUUCAACGUUUAUUUAUUUUUGGGACAGAGAGAGACAGCAUGAACGGGGGAGGGGCAGAGAGAGAGGGAGACACAGAAUCGGAAACAGGCUCCAGGCUCUGAGCCAUCAGCCCAGAGCCCGACGCGGGGCUCGAACUCACGGACCGCGAGAUCGUGACCUGGCUGAAGUCGGACGCUUAACCGACUGCGCCACCCAGGCGCCCCAAAUUUGCUAUAUAUUUUGAGAAAAUUUCUCAACUUUAUUUCCCAGCUGACACUCUUUUUCAAACUAAUCUCUAUACCCAGUGUGGGGUUCAAAUGGAUAAUCUGAGAUCAAGAGUCAGAUGAGCCAGCCAGGUACCCCCCAAUUGAUAUUCUUAUGUACUUUAAAUUUUUUACUUUUAUGGUGACUAUUUGUGUGUGUGUGUGUGAGGGAAAAAACCUUUAUUAAUAAAUAGGUUACAGUGAAAUAGAGUGAUGGUUUAUUGGGGAAUAAAAACUCAAGCAGAAUCUGUCUCUCUCUACCCCAGCUCUAGCUCUCAGCUGCUGUCUUCUUACUGGCCAAUUUGAUGAUGAGGCAUCUGUCUCUCUCUCUCUCUCUCUCUCUCUCUCUCUGUCUAUAUAUAUAUAUAUGAUAUAUAUAUAUAUCAUAUAUAUAUAUCGUCUAUAUAUAUAUGAUAUAUAUAUAUCAUAUAUAUAUAUCAUAUAUAUAUCAUAACAUUUACCAUUUUAAAUAGUUUUAAUUGUACAGUUCAGUGGCAUUGAUGAUAUUCACAUUGUUGUGCAACCAUCACCACCAUUGAUCUCCACAAAUUUUUCAUCUUCCAAAACUAUAACUCUGUACCCAUUAAGUAAUAACUCCCCAUACCUCCCUGCCCUAAGCUUCCUGGAAACCACCAUUCUAUUAUCUGGCUUUAUGACCUUGAUAACUAAAGUACCUCAUUUAAGUAGAAUCAUGCAAUAUUUGUCCAUUUGAGUCUGGCUUAUUUCACUUAAUAUAAUGUCUUCAAGUUUCAUCCUUGUUACAGCAUAUGUCAGAAUUUUGUUCCUUUUUAAGGCUGAAUAAUAUUCCAUUGUAUGUAUAUUCUACAUUUUGUUUAUCCAUUCAUCUGUCAGUGAAUGUUUAGGGUGUUUCCAUAUUUUGGCUAUCUAUAUAAUACUACUAUAAACAUUGCUGUAUCUUAUUUUUUAUUUAUACUAUUAUAUAUUUUUUCAGGAGUUUUCUGAAUGUUCCAUUUGUAUUAUAUUUCAUUCUUUUUUUAAAGCGAUGAAAUCUUAUCUUAAUUCUCUGAAGAUAUAAAUGUUAUUAUAUAUAUGAAUAUAUUAUAUAUGUAAAUUUAUUUUUCCCUGCAUUGUGUUCAUAUCUUCCAAGUUGCACUUUAUUGCUUGUUUAUUUUCAUCUCUUUUCCAUGUUAGAGUUUUUUUUUUUUCUUUUUUUUCAGAUGUCUUGUAAUCUUUGAUUUUCUACUCUUAAGAAUGAAAGUCUAAAAGCUGAUAGGGAGCUCUGAAUACAUAUAUGUACAUAUAUAUCUACAUAUACGUAUAUAUGUAUGUGUGUGUAUAUACAUACACACAUGUAUAUAUAUAGGGCUUACUGACCUUGAGCUUUCUGCAAGGGGAUCUGGGAAGGCUACGUGUUGGACAUCCUUGUUAGCAGUACUUUUAGGUCUUUCUAGUUGGGAUGGAUGGCCAGAUUCCCAGAGUAAAGUCCAUCCCUCUCCUUCCUAGAGGGUUGAGAUCUGGCUGCCAGUGUCCUGGGUGCUAAGUAUGGAAAGGAGUUUUGAGAGGAUGUUUCUGAUAGAAUAUUCAGGUCUUCAUUUGUGCCUGGCCUCUCUCAGUCCAAAACAAAAACCACAGACUUGUCCAAGGUUGGGAGAGUCAGUCUUACGCUGGCCUGGAGUUGAGAAUCUAAAGAGAUAAUCGCUUCUCAGUCAGCGUUGACCCAGUCCUUCAGCACUGGCCUUGCCCCUUUCACUUUCAGGUCCAGAAUUACCUGGUGCUACCAUUUCUUGAACCUUCCGAGAUUUCUGUUGUGUUAAUGGGAACGCUUCUCAGCUUUCCUCCAUUACAGCUUAGUUUCUCUGUGACGUCUGCUGAAUCAGUCAGAUUUCAUCCAUCUAUUUUCUAAUUUUCAAAAGUAUGUCGCUGCUAUCUCAUCUCUUCCUCCUGAUCUUUUUGUAUAUUAAAAAAAAAUGCCUUUCGGGUUGCUUUCACAUGAUUUUCUGAAGUGGUAGCUGUUGAUAUGUGUGUAUUCAAUCCUUACGUUAACCCUAAACUGGCAUAGCAUACUCUGCUUGUCUGGGAAAGAGGAUAAAGGCCUCCUUGAUUCACCAAACUUCCAAUCAAUUUAGGGACUUACAAUUUAGUUUUAUGCCAUUAACUUAAUGCUGCCUUAUUGAAAAUUCUCUCAUUUCCUCAUUUCAAGGUAAUAGUUAGAAAUCAGUUUAUUUUUCUGUAACUGAGGCAUUAAAGUUUUGGCCUAAAUCACAUGAAGUAUCUACUCUGAAAAAGCAGUCGAUGUGUCAGUAAAUAAAUCUAUUUAUUUUAAGGCACGACUUGCCUAUAGACAUUCUAUUAGAAGGAGUAAUCAUUUAGAAAAUUAUAUUUGCUUACGAUGGAUUUUAAAUUAUUAAUGAGUUGUGUUAUUUGGUUCCCCAUUUAUAAAAAAAAAAAAGGCUCCUCCUGGUGAUUUUUAAGAAGAAGUUUCAUAUAUUUUCUUUGAGGUCAUUGCAUUUGGUCAAAUUAAAGUAGUGUUGCAGUAAUCGAAAUGAAUCUGUAAGAGGAAAAUAACUUAAAAAUAAAAAUGGCACCUGUUUAUUACCCAGAUAUAUCUGUUCCCUCUGCUUCAUUUUAGUCAUAGCUAUUUAAUUUCCUGAAGCAAAAAACAAACAGAUUUUUCACUAAUGUCAGUGCUGCAGAGCUUGCAUAGGACAGAAGAGCCAGCUGUACUCGAUUUCGUCUUAUGCAUCAUCAACAAAAUUGGCAGCUAAGUUCUGAUUUCAGAGCCUUUAUGGUUAAUGAUGAUGUACAAGCUGUGCUUGAUUUUCAGAUACAAGACUGAUCUUUGCUGACAGAAAAAUCUAUUUUUGAUUUGUAAAUUGAGCAAAUUUGAUGCAAAAUUAUUGAUGUAGGAUAAACGCAGAUCACGAAGAUAUCAUUUUUAGACUCACAUUUCUACCCCUUAAACCACUUCGCUUUAUUAUUAUUAUAAUCAUCAUCACCCUUAUAAUUAUUAGCAUUACGAUGAUGGUAACUAAGAUUUAACUAGAAUUGCAGUGAAGUUUUGUGAAUGAGUCAUGUAUCGACAAAUCUUCUACUAACUUAAGAAUGUGACUGCAAUGAAAAGGAACAACAGAACUAAUUAGCAAUCGAUUCCAUUAGCAUCCCUGCUCUGGACAUAAGGCUAAUUCAGAACCCUAUGUGGCAAGUGAUCAUGAGUGUAAUCUGACAUCACGUAAAGAAUGCUGGAGCAAAUAGGUGUGAAAGAGGGGGAAAAAAGUCUUCCUUCAUUAUGAGCUCUUUGACACCAGAAAUAUUUCAGUCGUUGCUUAAAGCAGCUACUAUAUUUUUUGAGUUCAUACAAAUCGUUUUAUCCUACGUGCCCAUGGUGUACCAUUGAAUUUUUUUUUUUUUUUUUUAGAAGCAGCAGUAAUGGCCUUGUGCAAAAUCAUGUGGCUAUAAAGUCUUAUCUUAGAUGUUGUUUCAUCUUGAUCCCAUGCAGGAGCCCUGCCCACAUGUAUCCAGUUCUUUCAUGCUGUUUCCUGGAGUAGUACUCCUACCCUUUGCUCUAGUUUGCCCCUUCCUUAUUCCAUACCUAUCACUCUUUAACCAUAUCACAGCUUACCUGUCUUCUGUCCCAUUCCUUUAAGAUUUUGUAAGGAUACAUGUGUUAGGAGCUUGAAAAUAUUGUUUUUUAGAUAUAUUAUCCUUCUAGGAGUACAGAUUUGCAUUUUAAGAGGAACUCUUGAAGACCUAUUGCCAGAAGUUGAAAUGUCACAUUUUUCUGUCUGUCAAGAGUGGCAAAAAUCCAUAUCCUACAAUAACCGGCUUUUACUUAUUGAUUUUACGCAGCUUAAAAUGUGUGUUUCUGAAGCAUAAUGAGAUAGAGAUUAAGAUCGAGGGCUUUGAAGUCAAAUGGAUCUAGAUUUGAAACUCAGGGCUGCCACUAACUAGUCCUUAGUUGCAUUUUACUUAUCUUUACCCCAGUACCCACCUCCUGGGGCUGUUGUGAGAAGUAUAUGAAUUAUUGCAUGUAAAAUGGUUAUUAUAAUAUUGAGCAAUAGUAGGGGUUCAAUAAUUGUGAACUACUAUUAUUAUUUUUGUAAUUGUAUAACUCAAAUAUUCUUUCCAAAUUAUUGAUUUUUCUUGGUCUCAGAUAUUGGUUAUAUAUCUAUAUAUAGAUAUCUCUAUAUAUAAUCCUAUACAAAGGAUAUAUAUAUAUAUAUAUAUACACAUACAUAUAUAUACAUGUAUAUAUAUACAUAUAUAUAUAUACACAUACAUAUAUAUACAUGUAUAUAUAUACAUAUAUAUACAUGUAUAUAUACAUAUAUAUGUAUAUAUAUACAUGUAUACACAUAUACAUGUAUAUAUAUGUAUAUAUAUACAUAUAUAUACAUGUGUAUAUAUAUAUAUAUAUAUAUAAAAAACAAGGAUACGUAAGGCAUCAAGCCUUGUUCAACUUUGUUUCCCCAAGAAUCUGCAUGUAAUAAUUGCUAAAUAAAUGUUAAAUUUUAUUCAAUCCACCAUAAAAUGUCUUCGAUUACAAUAUAAAUUUACUAUAAGGCAGAAAUGGCUUAAAUAAAGAAAAGAGAUUGGAUUUCACAUUGAUGUAUUUUAAUUGAAUCACACUAUAUUUUGGGUUUAUCUUCAGUAAGGUCAAACGAAGCAUUCCCUUACCAACUCUUUUGUUAUCGACAUAACAGAAAUCUCACAAGUAUAAGCAAUAAACCAGUAUCCAAGGGCCUCAUUUACUACCAAGAGGCACAUUAGAUGCUUUGAGAUUACUAGCAAAAUACUCCAAAUUAUACUCUGGAAGUCUUAAAGAGUUAAUAUCUCCCUAUAAAAUGCUACCUGGUUUGUUAUCAAGGGAUAAUUUAAACAUUUGGGGAAUCUGUUUAAAUAAUAUCAACAAAACAACGUCAGUACCAAUGAUGUGUGGUCCAGUUCUGUAGAGUAUAAAUCGGGCUGGGAGUUAAGAAAAUCUUUCAGAAAUCGGGGUGAAAAGUUGUCAUUCAAGAAUCAUUAAAAAUGAACAUGCAAGAGACCAUCUCCAAGUAUAGAGUUUACUUAAUAUCUGCAGUGAACUCAACCUAGGGAUCUUUCGAAGUUGUUUCUAUAGACUGAGUUCAAGAUGUUGUCAUAAUGAGUGACUGAUGAGUGACUCUAAGUGAGGCUUAUGCAAAAUACCAGGCCCUCAACUAGAUAAUUUAAAGUCGAACAAAAUCUAAAAGACUGCUUGUUUGGAAGCUAUUGAAUCAUUUUUAAACAUUGAAGGAACCCAAAGUAAACCUACUUAGUGGCUGAGUUUUGGGAUAUAGAUAUGAGUGGAGUUAGAAAACCUUGCCCUUUCCCAAAUUUAUCCAUACUUGCAUCUUUUUCUUUAGAAACACAGUCCUUGUGUUUCCACCUGUACUGAAGCCUUGUCUUGCCCUUUCCCCUUGAACCGGGGUCAAGUCACCAGACUCGAUCGACAACACUGAGCAUCCUGGUAAAGUGGUAGUCCCAGGCCUCCCUCUCCAGGCGAGAGCCAUCCUGUAUUACAAUGGGGCCAUUGGAAAGCAGAUGCAGUCACCAAAACUAUUGCUCCUUGCCCCAUCACAGCAGUCCCAUGUCCGGGUCCUCCCACAUUCCUCACUGCCACAUCUGGGAGCUGAGGAGCAAAUAGAUACUUAGUAGCCUCACAUCUUUCUUCUUAAACUGGCUGUCCUCCGCUUCUUAAAAGAUAUCAAGCAUCCAUUUUGACUCACAUUUCCAUUUCUUACACAGCUCAUAAUCAGAAGCCCAAGCUCAUUUUGUUACCUGUUAUUUUUAUUAUCCAUGGGCCAAAUCCAGCCCACUGCAUGUUUUUGUAAAUAAGGUUUUGUUGGAACACAACCAUGCCUGUUUCUUUACAUACUCUCUAUGGCUGCUUUUACACUAAAACAGCAGAGUUGAAUAGUAAUGAUAAAGGUCAUUUGGCCUGCAAAACGUAAAAUAUUUACUAUAUGACUUUUUUGUGUGAUUUUUUUAAAUUUAUUUAUUUUCACAGAGACUGAGACAGUGUGAGUUGGGGAGGGGCAGAGAGAGAAAGUGAGAGACACAGAAUCCCAAGCAGGCUCCAUGCUGCCAGCGCAGAGGUUGACGCAGGGCUGGAAGCCACAAAACUGCAGGAUCAUGACCUGAGCCGAAACCAAGAGUCGGACACUUAACCGACAGAACCACCCAGGCGCCCCUGUUGUUUUCUUUUUUUUUUUAAUUAUUUUAUUUCACUUUAUUUCAUCAUAAUAAGGGUACUCUUUAAUCCCCAUCCCUACUUCACCCCCCCCCCCCCCCCCCCCCCCCCCCCCCCCUCCCNNNNNNNNNCCCCCCCGCCCCAUCCCCACCUACCUCUCCUCUGGUAACCAUUAGUUCGUCCUCCAUAGUUAAAAGUCUGUCUCUUGGUUUGCCUCUUUCUCUUUUUUUUCCUUUGCUCUUUUGUUUCUUUUUAAAUUUUUUUUUUCAACGUUUAUUUAUUUUUGAGACAGAGAGAGACAGAGCAUGAACGGGGGAGGGUCAGAGAGAGGGAGACACAGAAUCCGAAACAGGCUCCAGGCUCUGAGCUGUCAGCACAGAGCCCGACGCGGGGCUCGAACUCACAGACCGUGAGAUCAUGACCUGAGCCAAAGUCGGCCACUUAACCAACUGAGCCACCCAGGCGCCCCAAGUUUCUUAAAUUUCAUAUAUGAGUGAAAUUAUAUUGUAUUUGUCUUUCUCUGAGUGACUUAUUUUGCUUAGCAUUAUUCCUUCUAGCUCUAUCCACGUUGUUGCAAAUGGCAAGAUUUCGUUGUUAUGGCUGAAUAAUAUUCCAUGGUGUGUGUGUGUGUGUGUGUGUGUGUGUGUGUGUGUGUGUGUAUACAACAUCUUUUUUAUCCAUUUAUCUAUCGAUGGACACUGAGGCUGCUUCCACUGUUUGGCUAUUACAAAUAAUACUGUAUAAUACUGUAAUAAACAUAGGGGUAUAUGUAUCCCUUUAAAUUAGUUUUUUGUAUUUUUUGGUUAAACACCCAGUAGUCCAAUUACUGGAUCAUAGAAUGGUUCUAUUUAAAAAAAAAUUUUUUUUAACGUUUAUUUACUUUUGAGAGAGAGACAGAAUGCAAGAGGGGAGGGACACAGAGAGGGAGACACAGAAUCUAAAGCACGCUCCAGGCUCUGAGCUGUCAGCACUGAGCCUGACGCGGGGUUCCUACUGACGAACCGCAAGAUCAUGACCUGAUCUGAAAUCAGACGCUUUAACCAACUGAGCCAUUCAGGUGCCCCUCUAUUUUUAACUUUUUGAGGGACCUCCACACUGUCUUCCACAGUGGCUGUACCAGUUUUCAUUCCCACCAGUGGUGCACAGGGGCUCCUUUUUCUCCACAUCUUCACCACCAUCUGUUGUUUCUUGAUUUUUUUUUUUUAUUUUAGCCAUUUUGACAGGAUAUCGGGGUGAUAUCUCAUUAUAGUUUUGGUUUGCAUUUCCCUGAUGAUGAGUGAUGUUGAGGAUCUUUUCAUGUAUCUGUUGGCCAUCUGGAUGGCUUCUUUGGAGACAUGUCUGUUCAUAUUUUCUGCCCAUUUUUUAAUUGGAUUAUUUGUUUUUUGGGUGUUGAGUUGUAUCAGUUCCUUAUACAUUUUGGAUACUAACCGUUUAUCAGAUACAUCAUUUGCAAAUAUCUUCUCCCUUUCGGGAGGUUGCCUUUUAGUUUUGCUGACUGUUUCCUUUGCUGUGCAGAAGCUUCUUAUUUUGGGCCCUUUUGUAGAAAAAGUUUGCUGACCUCUACCCUAUCUAUUCAUCCUCAUAAGUGUAUGUCCACUUAUCUGACCCAAUCUCUCACUUCUAUUGCCACCUCAAGCUCUUCCACUCUAAUACAUGGUGCUAACUGUUCAUGAUCAGCAAACUUGUCUUCAUUUUCAACUUCAUUUAUGGAAUGUUCCCUUUGCUCUCUUACCGUAGGUAAAACCUGGAUAUGCCCUGACAAAAUCAUUCCUAAUGCAUUGUAGUCAAGGCAGGCUGUCUGCUUUUACAUCCUCUGUAACUACAGGGCUGAUCCUGGAAUGAGUGUUCUUGCUUUUCAGUGACAUUUGCAAAUCUAUUCUCUUCCCUCAUCCAUCCAAACGCCCAGCUCUUUGAAGUUUGUGUCAUCAGACUUUGUCACCUACUACCCCUCCUCGUUGUUGUCAUCUAGAGAACUUGGUUGCCUUCUUAUUUGAUACCUUUAGCCCAUGGCUCAUUGUCUUUUUAUUAUUCUGCCAUUAUUCUCACAGACUUCCUUCUUACUGACUUCAGCACCAUCUAACACUUCAGACUCUGGGUUUCUGGACUUCCCUCCCUUCAUUCCCUUCUCUCUGCUGUCCUCUCUUACCUGGCUGAACUUUAACUCUGGUUACACCCACUAGUCCCUGCGCACCAAAAUAAACUGAAGACUGAUGAAGACACAAUAACUAUGCUGGCCAAUGUCACUUUAAAUUCUGGCUAUAUAUCUCAAAUGGGUAGUUAGAUUAGUCAGGAUUUUCCAGAGAAACAGACCGAUAGAAGAUGAUUAAUGGAUGGCUCAAUCAAUAGAUAGAUUUAUUAUAAGGAAUUGGCUCAUGUAAUUAUGGAGUCUAAGAUCUGUAGUCAGCAAACGCGACACCCAGAGAGUGAAUGGUAUAAUUCCAGCCCAUGCCUGGGCGCCUGGGACCAGAAAAACCAAUGAUGUAAGUUCCAGUCUUAAUCUGAAGGAAGAAGACUGAUGUCUCAGCUCCAAGACAGUACGGCUGAUUGAGCGAAUUCUCCCUUGCUCAUCUUUUUUUGUUCUAUUCAGGUCUUCAGUGGGUUGGAUAAGGCCUACCCGUUUACUCAGUCUCCCUAUUCAAAUGUUCAUCUCAUCCAGAAAUACCCUCACAGGCCCACUCAGAAUAAUGUUUAGCCAAAUAUCUGGGUACCUCAUGGCCCAGUGAAGCUGACGUAAAAAGUUAACCAUUGCAGUAGUCAAGAACGGUCUUCCUUCUUCCACAGGACUGUUGCAUUCCCAGUUUCCAAAAUGAUCAUUCCACAUCUUGUCUUUACUCCUUAAGUCUCCUAAUCUCUUUUCCUCUCCAUACUCUCAGCAUGUAACAUCAUUUCAUAAAUCAAGAGAAAAUGGAGGUAAUCCAAGAAGAAUUCCCUCCCCCUCUCAACCUAAAACUCUCUGCCCAUCUUGCUCUAAACCUGUUCUCUGCCUGCCUUGUUUUAUUAUGGAGCAAGUGUCUCUGCUGCUCUGACUGGUGCGCCCUACCAUUUGUGCUCUGAAUCCCCAUCCCCCUCACCUUCUCGAAGGCUUGGUUUCUCAAUUAUGUCUUCAUCCUCUUCUGAAUCCUCACUUCUUUACUCAGUUACUCCCACUGUCAUAAACCACUUCUAGUAACUCCUUUCUUCUUUUUUUUUUUUUAAUUUUUUUUUCAUGUCUAUUUAUUUUAGAGAGAGACAGAGUACAAGCAGGGCAAGGGCAGAGAGACAGGGAGACACAGAAUCCGAAGCAGGCCACAGGCUCAGAACUGUCAGCACAGAGCCCAAUGUGGGGCUCAAACCUACAAACUGUGAGAUCAUGGCCAUGAUCUCAUUUAAAAGUAGUUACACAGUUAUUCUCCAUCUUAUCAUUCUACUUGAAGUCUCUAUAUUGCAUGUGUCACUCCCUUAUAUGUGUAUAUGUUGAUGGAGUUUACUGUUUUCCCCCCAUCAAUAAAUAUGAUUUGUGAAAACAGUUCUCUUUUUGUCUCCGUAUUAUCCGCAUAUAUGACAGACAGAGAGUCCUCAGUAAUGAUUCUUAUGAGUGAUUGCAUGCACUAUUUCCUUCUUUUUCCAUUUCUACUCCUAGACCAUAAAAUUCUCAAGGGUAAGGACUUUGUCCUGUCUUCUAUGUGUUUGUAGUUGGUUUCAUAAAUGCUUGUUGAAUGAGUGAGUGAAUCAUUGAUAUAAAUGAGCAAUAACCUAAAGAUAAAAGUUAUUAAUAUGAUGUUCUACUUUUAAAAUUUGCAUUGGCAUUUUUACUUGAAAAAAAUCAGAAUGAUUUCUUUUAGGGUUAUACUAAUUCCUUUUAAACUGCUGCUAAUUUGUGUGACUUAUCCAUAUGCAUCUAAAUUAAUUUUUCUAACUUUAACUCAGGCUUAUAAAUAAAUAAGUAUACAUAUAUGUAUGUAGAUGGAUGGCUAUAUAUACACCUACCCACACAUAUAUAAAACAUAUGUUAGUCCUGUUCUAAGAAUCUGCCAAACUCUCAUGGUAAGACUUGCCAAUUGCAGUCAUGUGACGGGAUGACAGUUCUCUUCUCUGGGAGAAGUCCAGACUUCCAGUGUCUGGGACAGAAAUAAUAUAGACCAAGAAACAUAUAUAGCUGAUGAGGGAUGAUUUUUGGCUCCCAUAAUGUGAGGUUUGGUCUUCUUAUUGGGAGACUUUGAAAAUCAUUAGACCAGAAAUCAUUUUUUUUAUUCCUACAAGCCAAAAUUUUUCCUUCUUGUAUUUCUUGAUGCAGGCAUACCGCAAAGACAGUCUUCCUGGUCAGUAUGGGUUUAGACUAAACUCUGCCACUGGAUGAUAGCAUGAGAUCUUUUGCCAGUGCAGCUGCCUCAUUUUUAUCAGCAUAGUAAAUAUGUAUCCAGCUAUACUCAGUUACAGAUACUUUCCUGUUGUCAAUAAUGUAGGACUGCUGAGGAGUAAAGAUGUUUUCAUUCUUAGGCAGAAUUGAUUCAGAGGAGAUAACUGGGACACUUCACUGCUAGCCUUAUGCACACAGAGGAGGUAACAGUAAGGAGUGCUUUCAGCUGCAGCCAACAAAAGAAUCAGCUAGCAGUGGUUUCAACAAAGUUAGACUCAAGUGGCUUCAUGACAGUAAGGCUGCCAUGUCUGCAGUUCUGCUGGCCUUCCCUUCAAAGUCAAACGAUGACUGUAACAUAGAAUGUGUCCGGUGCACUUGGGCUAACAAAGAAAGUGUUUCAGUGCAGGAAGCAGGGUGUGGUCUGUGCCAGUGCAUUUCUUCCUGUAUACUAAUCAAGGAGAGAAAACCAUUCAACACCAUUCAAAACCAUUCUCUUUACAUUUUACUGGCUACAAAUUGGUCUCCUGACAGUCCUUAGACCCACGGCUAGAGCCACCUUUUCUGAGAACUGGGGAUCGUUGCCUGAUUCCUGAACAGAUUUGGGGUUUGAUUUCAAAAAAUAAAAUGGGAAUGGCUUUUGCGUGGGUAAAGAGUAGUGCCUUCCACAGAGGGCUACCAAGACCAUUCAUGCUUAUGAAGGAAAUAAUGCUUAUGUGGAAUUGUGAAUUCAGGUAGAAGUUGACCAGGCAAAUAAAGUUUAGAAAGGUUGAAAAGGACAAGAAAGAAACUUCCGCGAGUGUAUGGAACAAAGAAGUGCAAAAAAUGAAAUAUAGCUGGUCGUUCUAUACGAGUAGAAUAAUGAGAGGAGAGACUACAGAGUUUGGCAGGAGUCGUGUCAUGGAGGCAGUGUGGGAGCAGGAAGGCAAGUUCUCACACCUCCAGGCAUUCAUUCUGAGGUUGCUAAAGUAGCGAAUAAAUACCAGUCUGGGUUUUCCCUUCAUAUGUGGCUACAAAAAUCCAGACUUUUAAGGACAACACUGUGAUCUCCCUAUUUUGAAGUAGAAAAGUAAGAGCAGUCAUUACUUAAGAUAUCUUGCUGUGCACUCUCUCUCUCCUCUCUCUCUCUCUGUCUCUCUCUCUCUCUCUCUCUCUGUCUGCUUAACUAAGUCUUACCUGGAGAUUUUUUAGCUGUUUGCUGAACCGGAUGGUGUUCACUGGUUAUGGAGACUCAGAGGAUUUUCCAGCUAUAUUACCUCUACUAAAUCUUUGGGGAAAAAAAUAGCUGAAUGCUUGGAGUGAGACCCAUCCUGCUACUUUGAUCAUUGUUGAUUCGACCAAGGGAUCAGUACCUGAGCCCAAAGCUGCCCGAUAGGAAUGUACCUUGUUGGGUAAUAACAGACCAAUAUAAUCACAUCUUCUCACAGUGGGAAAGCUAACAGAGUGAGGCAUGGAUGCCAGAAAGGUCAAUAACAGAGACAGGAUGUGGAGGAGGAAGGAGUAUGGAGAGAGAGAGAGAGCUAUAGAGAGAAUAAGAGAAGGGGAAAUUGAGCAAUAGCAGAGUUCUGGCUAUAAACACAGUAAGUCUUUGUUUUUGUUUGUUUUUUGUUUGUUCCAUAUUUUUAAAGUUUUAAUUUUAAUUCCAGUAUAGUUAACAUAGAAUGCUGUAUUCGUUUCAGUUGUACAAUAUGGUGAUUCAACAAUUCCAUACAUUGCCAGGUGCGCAUCAGGACAAGUGUACUCUUUAAUCCCUAUCACCUAUUUCACCCAUCCUCCCACCCACCUCCCCUCUGGUGAUCAUCUAUUUGUUCUUUAGUGUUUAACACAGUGAGUCUUUGAUCUUGCAAACUGGGUGAAGAAACCGACAGAGGAAGUACCAACCAUUGGGGCGGCUGGGUGUUUCAGUUGGUUAAGUGGACAACUUCAGCUCAGGUCACGAUCUCGCGGUUUGUGAGUUCGAGCCCAGCGUCAGGCUGGCUGCUAUCCGUGUAGAGCCCACUUCAGAUACAUUGUCCCCCUCUUUCUCUCUGCCCCUUCCCUGCUCAUACUUUCUCUCUCUCUCUCAAAAAUAAGUAAACAUUUAAAAAAAAAAAGUAUCAACUACUGAACAGUUCUUUAGUGAAUCUGGAUCAUAUUAUCAUCAUCAUGAUCAUCAGAGCCUGGGAAUAAUUGAGUCUAUUUUCAAAAUGCAAUGGAAUUCUGUUGCCCCAAAUAAUAUAAUAUAUUUGGAUAAAAUUAUUGAUGAAGGCUGCAAUCAUACAUUAUUUUGAAUGGAUUUGAGUUACCCUCUACCUUCCAGGGUAAGUAUCUAAGGUGUGAGGUCUUCAAGAACAGUCAUGGCAGUGUUUCUUUUCUUGUGGUUAAUUUUUCAUAGAGAAGCCUUUUGUUCUUUUUUGGGUAGUUCUGAAUAAGAAAACAAGAGUCCAAAUGGAGCCAGGUAAUCACAGAGGCAACAAGAGAAACAGAAAAAAAAAUGUUUAACUGUUAGAAAUUCAGGGCCAGAAGAGACAUGUUUCAUGGGUCUACCGAGCUGGGAAUAUGGUCUGAAGUGACAAUAAAGCAGACUGGAGAACAGGAAAGAAACUUCUAGAGAAAGUAGGCAACAGGGACCUGUUCCAGUUGAAGCAUGUCUUUAUGUCUCCUAGAAUGGUAGUUCUCUGUGGUGGUUACUCUCUAGAACAACCUGAAGAACAUUUGAAAACACAUUUCCAGAGCUUUCGCAAAUCCUGCUGAAUCAUAAGCACCUUCCCAUGAGGCUUUCACCUGUCCACAGUGAAAAUAUCCAUAUAAUGAUGGCAAUAGUGCUUUCUUGAAAGGGACUGUCUUUAGUUCUCAGACCAUGGCCAUCUUAAUUUUUAAUUUUAUGGUGAUCACCUAUUCUUCCUUUUAUGAAAUUAUUGUGAUAAAAGAUGCUACUUCAAAAAAGGUUCUUAGCAAAAUAAAAAUUAGCUAAACUGUUGUUCAGUUUUGACCUUGGGUAAUUUACCAGGACUUAAAAUCUGAGUGAUAACAUGUAACAGCGUGGUUUUGUACAGAUAAAAUGAGAGAAUGAAUAGAAUAUGCUUGGUACAUAAAUACUGAAGAUGUCCUGUGUUAUCCGGUGAGAUACUUAGGUUUGCAAAAUUUGACUCCCACUGCUUAAGCAGUAAAGUUGAUUUAUUGUUCCAGGUAAGUGAAAAGUGUAGAUCUUGUGGUGGGCCUCAGGUAUUGUUUACACAGGACUCUGGUUUUACUUCCCUGUGAUUCUUUCUGUUUUGCCCUCUUCUGUAUUUUGGUGUUGCCUCUGGACUAGCUUCUCAAAGUGGCUGCCAGGAUCCACAUAGUGCGAGAGAAUGCUGUUCCUGAAACCAGUAACGGAAGUACAGUCCUAAGGAGAUGGGACCACCCCUCAGCCAUGACUGCAGUCAGGGAGUCCCAUACAUUGACUCAGUCAGCCCUCUCAGUUAGCCUCAGUUAGCCUGUUCCUUAACACAGCGGGACCAGUCCUUGAAGCUGGAGAUGCUGUAAAUCCCAUAAAAGCCACCUGCACACAGUGGGCAGGAGAAAAAUUAAAGUUGGAAGAAUUCCCACAAUCCCUCUCCAUAGCCGUAGUCCCAAUAUACUUGCUGACUGCAUACAGCAGCCCCCUUCACAUACACUUCCUGCCUGCUAUAAAGCACUUGAGUUAAAAUGAAAGAAGCUGCCAACAUUGCCUUUAAGGAAAAUGUUAUUCGCUUUAUUUCAUACUUAGAAGUACUAAAAUGUUGCUACUGAAGUUUGAAAGCUAUGGAAAAUUAGAAGAGGAAAAACAGGUUCUUAGCCUAUCAGAGAAGAUAACCAUCUUUAAAAUGUAGUGUCUUAUCAUUGUCUUUCUCUUAUGUGUGUGUAUGUUGUACAUUACAUACAAGUUUUUUAUGUUUAUAGUUUGCUAUAAAUUGAGUUUUAAACGAAUAUAUAUAUAUAUUUUUUUCUUGAGUGUAAGAGAAAUAUCUAGUCAGGUUUUUUAAAUGGGAACAUUGAGAAGUGUGAAAAGAAAAGGAAGGAAGGAACGAAAAAAAAUAGUAACCUUAUUGAGAUACCAUUUCUAUUUUUCAGUGUGCAUCAAAUAUUUGCUCUAUGUAGUUGAGGUAGAGCUAUUUAUACCUGUGUUUUAAGCAUAAUUAACAAAGAAAUGCUCAUUUGUCUUAGAUGACAGAUAAUAUUUACCACUGGAUGGUUUAUUAGUCUUUCCCCAUUAAAAAAAAAAUGACUCAGGUAAUCAAUAUGACUUUUAAAGAUGUGGAAACUUAUAACUCAAGCUUCUUAGUAAUGAAAAUGACCACUAUUGCUGUAUGUAGUCCUGUUUUGUAGAAAAGAGGAAAGGGGCUUGUGUAUGAUAAUUGUCUCAGUGUGGUUCACAACUUAGUGAACAGUUUAGCCAUUUUUGUCUCUUAAUUUUUUUUUUAAUCAAAGCAGUAUGUGCAUAUAAUUCUAAAAGACAAGUACAGACACAGAAGCCUUCUCCUCUACCUCUUCUGGGGGACCCCACCCCUCCCAUGUCAUCGCCAGAGCAAUAACCACUUUGAGUUAUUUUAACUGUGCCUUGUAGAUGCUGCCGUCUUGUUUCUUGAUGCUUUUAGUGCCGUUUACAAUUACUGGCUUUGGACAUUACUAAUUACUUCCCAGCUCUAACAGAUGAGGAUUUCGCACUCUCUCAUGGCUCCCAUCCUCCAAAUAUUUUUACAUCACACUUUUUGGUUAAGUCAACAUAAAUUGUUUGUAUUGUCUUGUCCAUAUAAAUAUUCUUUAUAGAUGAAUAAGUAAUUUAUUACGUUACAUUUCUUUUUUUUUUCCUAUAACUUUGGUUUCCUGAGUUAUUUAUCAUCUAGUUUCGUUGUUGUUAUGUUUGUUUCAUGUUCUGUACAUCUAGCAUUCCUCCCCAAAAUCUUAAUAUUAAUUUUUUUUUAAUUUUUUUUUAACGUUUUUUAUUUAUUUUUGAGACAGAGAGAGACAGAGCAUGAACGGGGGAGGGGCAGAGAGAGAGGGAGACACAGAAUCAGAAGCAGGCUCCAGGCUCUGAGCCGUCAGCCCAGAGCCCGACGCGGGGCUCGAACUCACAGACCGUGAGAUCGUGACCUGAGCUGAAGUCGGACGCUUAACCGACUGAGCCACCCAGGUGCCCCAAUAUUAAUUUUUAAAAAUUGAACUAUCCUACUGAAAUGAAAAACAUUUCAAUAGAGCCAAACAUAUCAAGUUCUCUUUGCUUUACUUGCUAAUUUUUUUUGUGCUGUCCCCUCACCCCUCUGCCUUCCUGACAGAUGGACUUUUUUCUAGGCACCCUGCAUACCUGUCAUUGUGAGAAUUUCCCUUGUCACUCUUUUUUGUUGACUAUUUUCUGAACCUAAGAUUUCCCCUCUUUCCUUGCCCUCAUAUUUGUAGAGCAAACCAAACAUCAGAGGGCUCUUUUUGGAGAACUUGCUUGAUAAAUUUUUAUUCACUCACAUUCAAUAGAUAGUUUGGAUAGGUAAAUAAUUCAAGGAAGGCUAGACAUUUUCUCAUGGUACGUUAAAGGCAUUCCCCCCCUUUUCUGGCAUUUUGGGUUUGCACUUACCUUUCCUUGAAUGUGAUCUCUGCUUUGUCUCUGGAAGUACUUACACCUAACAGAGGUGUUCUGAAAUCUUACCAUUCCAUGCUUGGAUGCCUCUCUCUUUUCAUUCAUUGUACCAAGAACUCAUUGGGAACAUGUUCACAAGUAACAGGAUAUUUUCUUAUAUUAUUUCUUUAAUAUUUCCUCUUAAAAAUUUGUGUGUGCUCUAUCUCUAUCUCAUUCUCUUUCUGGAAUUCUUUUUGUCCUGAUUGUGAACCUCCUGUGUUGCAUGCUUGAUUUUCUUUUUUUUCCCUCUCCUGUGAUUAGUCUUUUUGCCUUUUAUACUAUUUUUAAAAAUUCCUGUAUAAUAAACAUACUGUGUUAUAGUAAUUUCAGGUGUACAACACAGUGAUUCAAGAAUUAUUUUUUUUUCUAAGUAUGUUUAUUUAUUUUGAGAGAGAGAGAGAGAGAGAGAGAGAGCGCUAGCGAGGAGGGGAGGGGCAGAGACAGAAGGAGAGAAAGAAUCCUAAGCAGGCUCUGCACCAGCAGCAUGGAGCCUGACAUGGGGAUCUCACAAACGGUGAGGUCAUAACCUGAGCUGAAACCAAGAGACACGGUAGCUUAACUGACUGAGCCACCCAGAUGUCCUGUGAUUCAAGAAUUCUAUCCGGGCACCUGGGUGGCUCAGUCAGUUGGGUGUCUAACUUCAGCUCAGGUCAUGAUGUCAUGGUUUGUGGGUUCAAGCCCCAUGUUGGGCUCUGUGCUGACAGCACGGAACCUGGAGCCUACUUUGGAAUAUGUGUCUCCCUCUCUCUGCCCCUUCCCCACUCACACUCUGUCUCUCUCUGUCUCAAAAAUAAAUAAAUGUUAAAAAAAAAAAAAAGGAAUUCUAUCCAUUACUCAAUGCUCAUCACAAGUGCCCUCCUUAAUCCCCAUCACCUAUUUCACCCAUUACCCCCCCCCCCCCCCCCCCCCCCCCCCCCCCCACCUCCCCUCCGUUAACCACCAGUUUGUUCUCUAUAGUUAAGUCUGUGGGGUUUUUUGUCUCCUUUUUUUCUCUGUUUGUUUUGUUUCUUAAAUUCCACAUGUGAAUGAAAUCUUACUGUGUUUGUCUUUCUCUCACUGAUUUCUUUAGCUUAGCAUUAUGCCCUCUAGAUCCAUCCAUGUUUUUGAAAAUGGCAAGAUUUCAUUCUUUUCUAUGGCUGAGUGAUACUCCAUUGUCCUUUGAUACUAUUUUUUCCUGGGUGACUUCCUCAACUUUAUAUUCUAAACAUUCUGUUAACUUAAAAUUUUUCUGCUGACAUGUUUUUGAAUUUCUGUGAACUUGUAUUCUUUUCUUGCCUUUUUACUACUUUUACUUCAAUGACGUACUUUUCUUGAUUUAUGGAUACGUGAUCUCUCUUAGCUUCCUGAUUAUAUUAUUUAUAGGUUUUUUUUAACACAGUUUUUCAGUCCUCCACAUUUCUCACUCAUCUACAUUAAAUUUUAUCUUUAUAAAAAAUAUUUAUUUCUAUUUUCUGUUUUGGAGAUAGUACUCACAUUCCUAGGGGUAGUUGGCUGUUUGUUCAGAUUCAAGUUAGAAGCCGUUCGCUAAUGGAAGCCCCUUGCACGUGUAUGUGAGGGGUAUGGUUGUUGACUUGAGGCCUUACUACUGCAGGGUGAAAGGAGAAGAUCUUAGCUGUACGAAUCUCAAUAUUUGUCAGUUUUCUACAACUUCUAUAAAAAAAUUACCACAAACUCAGCUACCACAGAUUAAGCCAGCACAAAUUUAUCUCAGAGUUGUGUGGUUCAGAAGCCCAAAAUGGGUCUCACUGGAGUAAAAUCAAGGUGUGAGCAGGUCUGAGGUUCUUUCCAGAAAGUCUAUAGGAGAAUCAGUUCUCUUGCCUUUUCUCCUUUCCAGUGGCUGGCCACAUUCCUUUUUCUCAUUGCCUUCUUCCAUGUUCAAAACCAGCAGUGGUUAGUCAGGUGUUUAUUACAUCUUACCACUCUGACCCUGACUCUCCUGCCUCUCCCACAUUUGAAACACCCUGUGGACUACUUGAGGCCACUCAGCUAAUUUAGGAUAAUCUUCUUAUUUUAAGGUCUACUGAUUAGUAACCUUAAUUCCAUCUGCAACCUUAAUUCCCCCUAGCCAUGUAUGUGUUCACAUGUUUGGGGGAUUAGGACAGGAAUAUCUUUAGGGGGUCACUAUUCUGCCUACCACACAUUUCAGUUUCCUGUCUGAUGAGCUCUUCCAGGAAGAGAGCAAGGAAUAAGGCUGAUAUGUUUUGGCAUUUUAUACAAAUUUUACAUACCCUCCCUGUUUUUUCAAGGGCUCACUUCCCGUUCUGUGGUGUGUAUUGUUUCCCGAUGUGUGGGUUCUCUAUGGUUUAAUUAAUCUGGAAAAUGAAACUCGGGCUCUUGCCAAAGAUGGAAAUCCAUCCAGAAGUAUAAAACCUGCCUAGGAGGGUGAUAGUUUCCUAGAUGGGAGGGAGUGGGGUGGUCAUGUUGUGUGGGUGCUGAAUGGCUUUGCACUAUGGGAUAAGAGGAUGUGGGAUACUAAGAGCUGGGUUUUUUGGUCACUUCCUCAGGCUUUCAAAUAAUCUCUUCUUUUUCAAUUCUAGCCACCACUCCCACCUUUUAGAUACCUCAUGUGUUCCUAAGCCUUCUUAGAAUCCAUCUAUCUGCUUUCCUUCUCCUCCUCUCUUCCAUAAUGCCUCCUCUCUUCCAUAAUGCCUUCUCACAUUAUUUUUCCUCCCAUGGGCUUCUCUCUUCAUCGCUUUGUUUUUAUUUUAGUGAGGUUUUUGGAAGGAUCAGAGAUAAACAAAAGUAAUCAUUAACCAGAAGCUGUUGAUCAUUUUUAAACAAGUGAUAAAACUAGACAACAACAGAUAUUAUUUAAGUUGUCACUAAACAUGGAGAGGGGUUCUGUAUGAACUGAGAGGUACAGAGUUGCAGAUAAACAUUCGUAUCUGGCUAAUUGGAAAAGAAAAUGAAAAAUGAAAAAAAAAAAAAAGGAAAGAACAGAAUAGGGAAGCACUGCAGAUGAAGAUUAUUCCAACACUGUGGAAUCCAUCUGAUACCACAUUUUCGACUGGGUUGAUGAGAGGAAUCCAGACUAAAUAAGAACAACUAUGCAGUUUCUUUCCUAUCAUUACUUCGGCAUUUUUGAAAUCUUAAUUUUGAAUCACCUCUGGGUUCUUGAGAUUAUAAUUCCAGGACAUGAUACUAUCUGAGAUAAGGCACAUCUAAGAAUCCCUUUCUUUGCCCUCAUGCCUGAAAGACAGCUUGUACAAGUAUAAGGAUUUUUAGUAAUUUUUUUCUUUAAAUCUCUUUAGAUAUUUCGCCGUUGUGUGGGGAAGGCGGUGUUAUGCAGGCAUUUCAUGAAGCUGACCUUUUGUUCCUUUCCAUAGAGCCUGCCUAUAUGCUUCUGAGGCAUUUUCUUUUUUCUUGAAAUCAUAAAUGUAAACAAAUUUGAGUUAUAUGCUAUUAAUAGUCUAAAAAUAAUAAACAGUGAAAGUUAUUUUAACAAACAUAUUGACACAUUUUUGAGAUUAGGGUAAAAAAUGCAACAGUGUUAUGAUCGAGGGUGCUUUGUAUCAAAUACAAAUUGUCCUGCUUAAUGAUCUGUCCUAAUUAAAAGCUGUCUUAAUUUUUAAAUGGGAUUCUCUAUGGAUUCACAAGUGGGAUUAUCAAUUAAAGGCCAGUUAAAAGCUGAAUCACUUAAUUAUCUGGAAAUUUCUUACUUUAAAAUUGUUUAAGUCUAUGUAACUAAUUUACCAUCCUUAUUUGAGAAUGUCAAAGCCGUAAAGGCUAGUGUUUACCCUUUCUGUACGAGCUGACAUAUAGGUGGAGCUUUAGGUUUUAUUAUGGAGAGUAGACAUUGGUAAAAUCCUACUUGGCCAUUUUAUAGGCCGAAACACUAUUUCACCUGAUUUAAUUACCACCUUUUCACCUUUUUUUCACUUUGGAGAAAUCCUCUAUUCAAAUCACAAGUGGUACUUUGAUUCUUCCUAAGAAUCAGGGUGUUGUUUCGGGGUGUUAUUUUUAUGAGCUAUCGAGUCCUUAAAGGUAUGGCCAAAUGCCAUUCAUGUCUGUAUUUGCAGGCCAGGCCCAGAAAUUAGCUCGAAAGACCUUGAGUGUGGGUGAACUGUGGAUAAUGUGCAUUGAUAGCAGAGUAUACACUUAAGCCAGGAGUCACAACAGCCUUCCUCCUAUCACUGCAUGUUCCUCUGGCCUCCCCGAGCAGAUAUUCUGACCUCUGGCCUUAGUUGUGAACUUCUUAUCUAGAGGCGUGGAUCGUAAUUGAGCAUACACAGAAUAUUUGCCUUUGGGAGGCCUAUUGCCUGAGCCACCAUGGUACUCUCAACAGCGUAUUUGACAACAUCUUGAGAGUUUGAGGUAAGGGCUAGGAUACCUGUUGUGAAGCUAUGGUAUAGUUGGAUCAACAGCUCAGUAUAAUGCAAGUACUGACAGAGAUGAGAAUGAAGUCAGGUCCUGAAACCUGCUCAGAAGGUGAGAUUUACCUGGAUGGCAGGACUGGAGAACAACAAAACGCAGCAAACAGUGAAUUGCUACAUUCUCUCUGCUCAGAGCGUAAUGAAUUUGGAUUCAUAUGCCCUAAGAGAGUCUUCAUCAUUAUUGAGGCAUUGAAUUUUUAGGGGCAUCACUAUUCUCUUUGUAUUCUCAGGGUGUGUGUGUGUGUGUGUGUGUGUGUGUGUACAUAUAUACCUGUAUAUAUAUGUAUGUGUGUGUGUGUGUGUGUGUGUGUAGUAAAUGGCACUAUAUUUUAUCCCCGUUGAAGAUUUAAAUCUGUUUACUCUUCAUUCUCCAAUGGGGGAUUAUUUUUUUAAGUUUAUUUAUUUUGAGAGAGAGAGUAUGCACACAUGGGGGAGGGGCAGAGAGAUAAUCCCAAGCAGGCUAGGCACUGUUAGCAUGGAGCCCGAUGCUGGCCUGAUGUGGGGCUCCAUGCAGGGCUCGAACUCAUGAACUGUGAGAUCAUCACCUGAGCCAAAAUUGAGAAUCAGAUGCUUAACCAGCUGAGCCACCCAGGCGCCUCACCAAUGGAGAAUUUUUUGAUCAUGGUCUCUGACAAUUCCUUUAAUGAACAAGAGAAGACCUGUAAAGAGCUGGAGUAUUUCAACAACCAUCAACUACACUUGUAAGCAGAAACGUCUAAGGAAUGGCCAGGUCAUUGACUUUACCUAACAGAAACCAAGUAAAUAAAGAGUUAAUCAUCCUAAAUGACACUCUAAAUAUUUGUUUCAGCUUCUGGCCUGGCCACAAGCCUGUGAGAGAUCUGGUUAGUGUUUAGGAAGGGCCUUCCUGAUGGGUGGGAGCAAGCAAUCCUCCUGCCUACUCUCAAUUUGCUCCUCAGCAGACUUCUCCAGUCUUUCCCGGAAGAAUUCCAGGAUUGGGAUGGCUCAGAUUAAUCUAAAUCAUUUGGAAAAGUUUUCAUUCAGGUCCUAACCCCAUGAUGAAAUGUACAUCAAAACUGAAUAUGAUCACAAGUAACAGCCAUGGAAAAAUCCUUAAAUACCUCCUACUCUGGGAUUAUUUCUUUAUGGUACAAGUUGGAAUUAAAGGCAAUCUGUAAAGUUCUUCCAGGCAAUAAGUAAAACAAUAAAAUAAAAAUUCAAAAGAGUAAGUAAAAAAUAAGGAAUCUCUUUCAAAUUCCUCCCAGAAUUAUCCUAUUUAUGUGUGCCAGGGGUCUCCUGUGUAUAGCUUCCAAACUCUAUGGCAUCGAUAUUCCUGGUAACUAAUCUAUAAAUGUUACUCAAUCCAAUGCAUUUAUAAAUAAAUAGCUAACAUACAUUACUUCUAGGUGGCAGUCAUAGUUCUACGUGCUUUGCCUAUAUUGACUACUCAAUCCCGUUAUUCCUAUUUAAGAAAUGAGGCACAGAAAGGAUAGUAACUUUCUCAAGGUGGCACAGGUAGAAUGCAGAAGAACUAAGAUCCAGUCCCAGGCAAUCUGCUUCAUCACACACAGUAAUACCUCUCUAAAAAUUGUAAUUUGGUACCCAUAUUUAUUCAAUCCUGUAAUUUUAAAUGGAGUUUCCUGAAUGGAGGUGGAAAGCAAAGGAGAGCUGUUCAAAACGGUUAGGAUCAAAUGUCAUACUGCUGUGUUCAUUUAAAACAAACAUCUUCACAUUCCUCAUGAGUACAAAGUAAUGUGUCCUCACCCAGAUAUAUUAAAUUGGGUGCUCCAGAAAUGGAUUUGAGCUCAGAAUCUUUCAUGAUUAUAGAUAAAGUGAAUUGGGAGGACCUUAUCUAAACAAAUUGUUUGGAGCUAAACACAAAGCUCAAAUUAAUGGUACAACCUAGAAAUGCUCUCUGAAAGGCUAAAUCUUUGGAUUUUUAUGCUAUGUGGAAGAGGAGUGGGUUCUGUUAAUAGGACAGACUUCGUGCAACAUAUGUUAAGAAAAAAAAUUGGAAGCACUUAAAAAAACACAAGUUGGAAGCUCAAUCUUGCAAAAAAAAAAAAAAAGAAAAAAAUCCUUAAAAUAUUUUGGAGCUUUUAGGAGAAAGUCAAUAUUAAAAUUAGUAUGAACAUGAGAAAGGGCUUUAUGAGUCGAGUGACUGUUGUUUUUCUAAAUGUCAGCAUGGAAACCCAAACAGAGAGGUGAGUUGGGUCCCUGGAAAGACUGACUGGGAAAGCUGAGUGUUAAGUUUGUGACGUGGUUGAUGGCAACCAAAAAUUGUCAAGUGCAUGAUGACAAAGUAUUUCCUGGAACUGGGGGCAGCUUCAAGACUUAUAAACAGGGAUGAUGUUGUGGGGGCCCGUGCUUUAAACCUGGACGGGAUCUAUAUGUGGCAAUGUAACCAGUGGUUUGAAAUAUGUUCCCAGACAGGGGUCUCUGGAAUUUGGAAGCCAUUCAUAGAUGGUUUGAGCUGAGCUUUGUACUGAAUUGACAAUCUUUGUAUACAGCAGAGGAAAACAACCAACUUUGAAACAUAACCUGCUCCCUGGUUUUAUCUUGACAUCAUGGAAAACAACCAAGGAAAUGUCCUCUGCUUUCAUUUUAAUGUCAUGAUCUUGCAAAUAUAAUACUCAGCUCUUAACAGAGACUAGGACUUACUUCAUUACAGCUUUUAGGGUUUCAUCCUGAAAAUCAUAUUUAAUUGAGUUCUUACCUUUAAUUCAAGAUGGUGUGACCCCCUACUCUAAGGAGAGCAGAGAAGUGUGUUCUAAUUCAAAGUUACAAACCUCUCUACCUUAGUUUUCUCAUCUAUAACAAGAAACCAUUGAGGUGCCUGGGUGGCUCAGUCAAUUGAGCAUCUGACUCUUGAUCUUGGCUCAGGUCAUGAUGUCAUGGUUGGUGGGACUGAGCCCUGCAUGAGGCUGUGCACAUAUCAACAACAACUGAGUUUGACCAUGAAGACAAAAACAACAACAAAACCCCCACAAACUCUUAUAGAAGGUUGAGACCAGUCAUUCUUUUUUUUUUUUCUUUUUAAGUUUAUUUAUUUUGAGAGAAAGCAAGAGUGUGCAAGCCUGAGCAGGGGAGGGGCAGAGGGAAAGAGAGAGAGACAGAGAGAGAAUCUCAAGCAGGCUCUGUGAAGUCAGCACAGAGCCUGACUCGGAGCUCAGUUUCACGAACUUUGAGCCACCCAGGCACCCCUAACUUACUUUUUAAUCAACUUACUUUUUUUUUUUUUUUUCAACGUUUAUUUAUUUUUGGGACAGAGAGAGACAGAGCAUGAACGGGGGAGGGGCAGAGAGAGAGGGAGACACAGAAUCGGAAACAGGUUCCAGGCUCCGAGCCAUCAGCCCAGAGCCUGACGCGGGGCUCGAACCCACGGACCGCGAGAUCGUGACCUGGCUGAAGUCGGACGCUUAACCGACUGCGCCACCCAGGCGCCCCUAAUCAACUUACUUUUUAAUCUAACUUUUUCCUAGGAAAUAAUUUCCAUGAAUUACAUAUUAAUAUAAACAAAUUAAUAAAAUAAAAAUUUUAAAUGCCCACAUACCACCUAAAAGUAUCUCAUGAACUAACAGCAUUUAGAAAGUCCUGACAUAAUAUGGGGCUCCCGGGUGGCUUGGUAGGUUAAGCGUCCAACUCUUGAUUUCAGCUCAGGUCAGGUACUCACCGUGAUGAGAUCUAGCUCCCGCAUUGGGCUCUGCCCUGACAAUGCGGAGCCUACUUGGGAUUCUCUUUCCCCCUCUCUCUCUGCCCCUCUCCUGCUCCAGUUCGGGCUUGCUCUCUCUCUCUCUCUCUCUCAUCUCUCAAAAUAAAUAAACUUUAAAAAUAAAGGAAUGACUGGUCUAAGCUUUCUAUGAGAGUUUAUGGAUUUUUUGUUGUUUCCGUCCUCAUGAUCAAAGUCAGUUGUUGAUAUGACCUCCUUAGAGUGGCUAUUAGUUCCAUUAGAAGAGAAGAGAUUAUAUAAUAUAUAGAAUAAUAUGUAAUAUACACACAUGCAUAUUAUAUAUAAAAUACCAGAUAAUAGUAGAUAAAAUAGGUAAUACAUAUACAUAAUUCUCUUAAGUGAAUGUGAUGCCCGAGAAAUUUACCACACUAUAAACUAAAGAAGAAACACUCUGUGAAAACCAGAAAAGAAACUUACCUAGCUUUCCCAGUACACUUCUCCAAAACUGAUUCCCGGCAGAGUUAAGAAAAGCACUUUGCAAAAUAUCUGAAACAGCAGCCUGAAUCGAGUUGUGACUCCUUCUAAAGCCUUGGGUGUUUCUGGCUCAUACCUUACGGUUUAUGUUACCAUUUACAGAAACAAUGAAGUGUUUUUGUUUAAAAGUCUUUCCCCUCUAAUUAAACAGAGAUGGAACUGAGUCAACAAUGGAGUUCUGGAAGCUGACAAACUGAAAAUGUCAAUAAGCUAUUAGAGACAUGCUCUGUCUAAAGAUAUUAGGAAGUUGCAUUGAUCCUGAAUUCUUAAGAAGAGAAAAAGACCUACAGAUCUGAAAGUAGGCCUUAAGAGGACCUGGGAAACCUUAGCCUGAUCAUGUUCUUUCCCCCUUAGCAAACUCUUUCUGACAGUAGGCCGGAAAGAGAAAGCCAGGGCUUGCCAGAGUUUUAGGAAGGAGGAAAAUUCCACACUCCUUUAAUUAUGCAGCAUUUGUAUUCUCUCUAUAGGAUCUCCUACACCUUUUGUAAGGUAGAAAAAAAUGUGUUCAGCAGAAAUCCGUCAGAGCUCAGAAAGCAGAGCAGCCUGGUUGCAGGCAAUGAUUUUGUCUUUUAUGUAUUUUUAUACUUGGGUUGGGGGAGGGAUCCUUUAUCCAUUAACCACAGAGCAGUCUCCACAUCCAUGAAACUUUUACCUAACCCCAUAGAUCUCAUAUUUUAUAGUGAUGGUUGCACAACUUUGUAAAUAUACAAAACCCAGUGAGUUGUAUCCUUUAAAUGGGUGAAUUACAUGGGAUGCGAAUUCUCUCUCAAGAAAGUUGUUAUAAAAAGUGUUAGUGUGUGUAGCACCAGCUGGAAUACAGGUUCUUGAGUUUCAGCCCAAAGGGCAGAAUCUCUAGACGCUGAGUCCAAGCAGCUGUUAUUUAAACAAACGUAUCGAGUGACUUCAGUGAGAUGACCUAAGUCCACACUUUUUAAGGAAAUCUAAGAGAUUAUGUGUUUUGCUACCUCCCUAAACAAGAAGAGAAAUCCUCCUGACGUUCACAAUGACCAAUAAUCGAUAGACGAGUAGCCUUCCUUCAGAAAUCUUAAAUUUGACCCAAUUCUUAAUUCCCCCUUUUGAAUGUGAAUAUUAUCAGUCUUGUAGGGAACCACGAUAAAUUUUUACUGGAGCUAGGUCAGGUGUCCUUUCAGAUAACUUACAUGAACAUUUAACAGGUCACAAAAGAAUUUCUUGUACAUUUUCUUACUGAGUCCUCACAAAGACCCUGUUGAGUUGGAGGAGCCUUCAAAGCCACCCAUCUUUUACAGAUGGGGAAGGGGAGAUUGAGCAAAGUUAAAUGUCUUGCCCAAAACACCUAACAGAAAACUGACCAACCUGCUUGGAUAUCAGGUCUUUUGACUCCUAGUUAACCCUCUUCUCACUAUAAAAACCUGUCUUAAAAAAUGCUUCUUCAGUAUGGCCUUCACUAACCUUUAGAAGCUAUGUUUGAGCACAUUUAUGAAGUUGCUGUCGUUAAUUAUGCUUUAAAAAAUGUGCAUCUUUGGGGCCGCCUAGGUGGCUCAAUUGGUUAAGCAUCUGACUUCGGCUCAGGUCAUGAUCCACAGUUGGGGAGUUCAAGCCCCACAUUGGGCUCUGUGCUGACAGCUCAGAGCCUGGAGCCUGCUUCAGAUUCUGUGUCUCCUUCUCUCUCUGCACCUCCCCCUCUAGCACUCUGUGUCUCUGUCUCUCUAAAAAAUAAACAUUUUCUGUUUAUUAAAAAUGUACAUUUUUUUUUGCUUUGCAGCACAAAAAGAAAAUGCACAACUUAACACAUUUCCCCCCAAUUCUUUGUGGCAGUUUUUGUCUAAAAACUGGAUUAAUGUAAACCAGCAGUGGGGAACACAUGUGAGUGUGUGUGCAUAUGCAUGUGUGUGUGUUGAGAGAGAGAGAAAGAGGAGACAUAUAUUGUGUCUCCGUGUGUUUGUGGAGAGAAGGAUGGAAUAUUAUUUUAACGUGAAAGUAUAAAAUAGGAUCAUUUAUUAAUUUGUAUGUGAACUAUUAAAAGAAACUAACAUGUAUUGGAUAAUUAUUAUGCUAUAAAUCUACUUGGCUCCUGUCCGCAACCCACCCACCCCCUCAUUCCUUAAAGACAUGCUUCUGGCUCAUUGCCUGCUUCACUCAGAUGCCACUGUUUUCCCGAGGUGAAAUAAUGUCCCUUUGAAUAAGCUACAGCCUCUCAAUUCCUUGAUCAUAUGUAUAUUAACCUUUACCUCCACUCCAUUUUAGAUAUCCACCCUGAGGGCAAUGUCAUCACCCUGACUUUGAAAUUUAUUCCGCAGACCCCACUGACCACAGCUGGCUCUAUUUGACAUCAAGGAAUUCUGCCAGCAUCUGGUCAACCCAUUCAUUUCUUUACUUCCUUUCCGGAAAACCUGAGAUUUUGUGUUUAUUUCUUCAGUCCCUACCCUUAUCCAUUCCCAAACUUCCUGGCCCCAUUGUCCUUUUGUUGAAGGCACCUAACGGAAUCUCGACUCAGACAAUCUGGCAUUUCCCUUUCUCUGCGCCUACUGUGGGCCAGCAGCUGUCUGCAGUCCUCUCUCCAACGUCAUCUUGCUUUCAGUGCUGCCUGGAACCCUUCCAGCUCCUUUAGAGUUUUCCCAUUUUCAUCAAAACUUUAAAUACAGUCCCUUGGCCAUGAGACCAAGGAGAUCAACUUUCUUCUUUACAGAGAAAACGGAAGCAUUUUUCAUGGAAAUGUUUUCAACUGAUUAUCUCCAAAUCUAUAAAAUUAGCUGCAUCCCAGAACACAUCUUUUGCUACGGUAAGAUAGGUAUGUCUCUCUUUUACUGAAAGCAGACACUUAUAGUACUCUUCACAUAUCUUUGUCGUCUCCCUCUCUUCUGACUCCUUCGUGUUUCCAAUAAAACAUACCAAAUCUUUCAUAUCUUAAAAUGAAAACAAAACAAAAAAGGCUUUCUUAUCCCUAGGUGCUCUUCAGUCUGCCAUUUUUUUCACUUAGUUGUCAAAUUAAAAGCUUUGGGAUCAUCACUUAUUUCUUCCUUUUCCUCCAUAUACAACUGGUAUGGAGACCCUGCUAUACCCAUUUCCUCAAUAUCUCUUUGUUCAAUGGUAUCCCUUUCCAAUGCAAAGGCCCUGAAUCAACAGAAAUAUGAUGUGAGUCCAAUGUGUAAAAUUUUCUGCGCUCUGGUGGCCACAAAAGUGGAAACAAUGGAAUUAAUUUUAAUGUAUUUUAUUUCAGCCAGUAUGUUAAAAUUGUUUUCAUUUCAGCAUGAGGUCAUGAUUAAAAAUCAUCAGUGAGAUAUUUUACCUGCUGACUUUGGAUUAGCCCCAUUUUAAUAGGCAUAGGCUGCUAAUGCCACCAUAUUGGAUAGUGCAGCCCUAGAUUCUCAUCUCUUGCCUGAGUCCAUCAGGUCUUCGCCGCUGCCAGGAGGAAGCUUCCAGUGGUUUUCUUGCUUCUUGUUGGGGCCCCUUCCCACAUGUUCUGUAUACAACAGCCAGAAUAAUUUUUUUCUCAAAAUAAAAUCUCAUGUUGCUUUCCUGUGUAGAACUCAGCAUGGUUUCUCACAGAUCUCUGUGCAUUUUUGAUAUUUAAAAGGCCCUUGGGGCACCAGGGUGGCUCAGUCGGUUGAGCGUCCGACUUUGGCUCAGGUCAUGAACUCACAGUUCGUGGGUUCGAGCCCCGCAUCGGGCUCUGCGCUGCCAGCUCAGAGCUCAGAGCCUGGAGCCUGCUUCGGAUUCUGUGUCUCCUUCUAUCUCUGCCCCUCCCCCACUUGUGUGCUGUCUCCCGCUGUCUCUCAAAAAUGAGCAAAUGUAAAAAAAAAAAAAAAAAUUAAAAAUUAAAAGGCCCUUGACUAUUUCCCAGCUUCAACUCUUCCUUUUCAUGUUCUACAAUAGAGCAUAUACCCUCCCCACUAAACUUAUUUGUGUUCCUUAAAGCCAUUACGACCUUCUUGAUGGCUAGGUUAUUGCAUAUUCUGUGUCUUCUGCUUGGAAUGCUCUUCAUCCUCCAAUCCUCACUCCUCUCCAAUAGGUUAACUGCUGUGCAUACUUCACACAUCUACAAAAACCUUCCUUCAUGUCCUAGAACUGGACUAUGGGGUCUUCCUGUGUAUUCACAUGCAACUCUUAGUUUCUUCCAUCAUAUCCUUUAUUACACUAUUGCUACUUUCUUUAUAUUUGGCAGCCUCCCCAAGGAAUAGAACAGGGACAGCACUUGGUCAUUUUUUUUUUUUUUAUCCCUAGCUCCACGCAUAGUGCAUGGCAUAUGGUAGGUGAUCAGUAGAUGCUCACUGAAUAAAUGAAGGAGCAAAUGAAUAAAUACAAUCUUUUUUAGUACCAGAGAAGAAAAAAGAGAACAUUUCCUGUUUGUAAAUUCUCCUGUGAUUUAAAAGUAUUUGUGUGUCUUGUCUUUUCCUGAUUCCUUGGACCUCCACUAAUUUCCAGAUGAACUUGCUUCAAAACAAAUCGUUUAUUUAAAGCAGGUAUUAAAAGGCAAAGAGCAUGAAAUAGCCCUUUUACUAGAAGAAAGACAGGAAAACUUCCCACAGAGAAUAACGGUGAAUUGCAUAGCAUAUAUUAACAAUUAUCGUUCGAUUUUGUAGUGAAAUAACUGUUAAUAAUGUUAAUCAAUGACUUCCCUGUCACUAAAUCUAAUGGACAUUUUAUUUAUUUUUUAUUUAUUUAAGCGUUUAUUUAGUUUUGAAAUAGAGAAAGAGAGAGAGAGUGAACGUGAGUUGCGGGGGGCGGGGGGGCAAAGACAGAGGGAGACGCAGAAUCCAAAGCAGGCUCUAGGCUCUGAGCUGUUAGCACAGAGCCUGACCAGGACACGGGACUCAAACUCACAAACUGCAAGAUCAUGACCUGAGCUGAAGUCGGACGCUUAACCGACUGAGCCACCCAGGCCCCCUCGGGUGGGCAUUUUAAAUCUUUGAUAGCUUACCUGAUUUCACAGGUGAUGGUAUUUGAAAACCAGAUAUCUGAAACCUCACUCCGCUACCUUUCCUUCUGUCUCCCUGGCUCUUCCUUUUCAUUCUCCUUUCUCCGACCUUACCUGUUAGAGUUCCUGAAAGCCAGAUCUUCAGUCCCUUUGUCCCAUUCUCAACUCUGUCCCUAUUUAGUCCCAUCCAGUCCCUGACUUUCUUUUCUCUAUACUAGUGUUUCUCAGGUAUAUAUUUCAGUGCCAAACCUCUGGUCUCCAAAUCCAGCAUCUAACUAUCUACUCAAGAUCUCCCUUUGGAGAGAUGACUAUACUUCAAAUUGAACAAAAUAACAAUAGAAUUAAUGAUCGCCUAUAAAACUCACUCUCCCUCCAGUGUAUUCUGUUUUAUUGAACGAUACUAUCAUGCACAUAAUUACUCAAGCCAGAGCCCUGGGAGUCAUCUUAGAUACCUCCUUCUCUCAUAAUCCAUAUUUCAAAUAUCUCCCUAAGUCAAGCAACACAUAGUGAAUUAAUGUUAGGAAUAUUUUACAUUUAUAAACAUACAGGGUUCUUAAAGUAAAUAUGUAUUACAUGUUACAUAUUAUUAUUAUAUAUAAUAUUGAUAUUAUAUAUUUAUAUAAUAUUAUAUAUAUAUAUAUAUAUAUAAUUGCUUUUUUUUUUGCAGAGGUAUGGAGUUUUUUCUGGGGGGUCCACACAACAUUUAUCUAAAUGCUGUUAAGGGUAGAGGAUUUUUAUUAUCCUUUCUGCCCUCUUGUAUAUCAGGGGAAAACUUUUAGUUUCCCAAGGGAGGAUAAGGGCAACGUCAUAGGUGACAUCUUAAUUUUUUUUUUUUAACGUUUAUUUAUUUUUGAGAGACAGACAGAUCAUGAGCAGGACAGGGGCAGAGAGAGAGGGAGACACAGAAUCCAAAGCAGGCUCCAGGCUCUGAGCUGUCAGCACAGAGCCCGAUGCAGGGCUCGAACUCACAAACCGUGAGAUCAUGACCUGAGCCGAAAUCAGAUGCUUAAGCGACUGAGCCACCCAGGCACCCCAUAGAUGACAUCUUUUUUGUUAGCCAAGAGGGACAAGAAAUAUGAGCACUUUGGAUACCAGUUAACACUUACAUCCCAUUUCUCAUUUUUUUAAAUUUUUUUUUUUCAACGUUUAUUUAUUUUUGGGACAGAGAGAGACAGAGCAUGAACAGGGGAGGGGCAGAGAGAGAGAGGGAGACACAGAAUCGGAAACAGGCUCCAGGCUCUGAGCCAUCAGCCCAGGGCCCGACGCGGGGCUUGAACUCACGGACCGCGAGAUCGUGACCUGGCUGAAGUCGGACGCUUAACCGACUGCGCCACCCAGGCACCCCCAUUUCUCAUUUUUUUUAAGGAGUUUGUAACAUAAUAACCAAAGUCUAGAAUUGGAGGGGAGCAGCAGGAAGUACAGUCUUUGGAUAGUUAAAGUACAGAAGAACUCCUGAGAAAGAAUAUUUCAUUUUGUUGUAAUUGCCUUCGUCUCCAUUUCCCUUUGGGUGAUAUACAAGCCAGGAAGUUCUGUAUUCUUUCUUUACCUGGAAUUAAUAAAACAGAAGAUCACUGGCCACCAUUCAGCUUGUCUGAGUCCAACCUUAUUGGCAGGGCUCUGAACGCCCCAACAUAGUGUUACAACACUGCUUGUAUCAAAGUCAGUCUCUUUGGGUCACAUGGGCAGCAUAUGUCUAUGUGCUUACCUGUGUUCUGGGAAGAAUAAUUCUUUUUAGUAACUAGAACUUAGCUUCUAUUGUGAGAAAGAGAGGUUCCAAAUCAAACAUGAAGAAAGUUUCUCUCUCCUAAAAGUCUGGAUGCAGAGAGCACAGGAUGACUACUCAGUUGUUAGGGAUCCAGGCUGCUCCCAUCUUCCCAGGUGUGGACUUGACCUUUCAACCUUCACUUUUCUCCAACCCUCACUUAGCUACAUUUAGCCAUGAGGGUAAGGUCUAGCUAAGAGGAUGUGAGGGGAAAUGAUGUUUGUUUACAACUUCUGGCAUGUGUCCCUAAAGGAGGACAAUUUGCCUCUUCCUUCAUACUACUGUUUGGGAGGGUAGGAGAUGUCAUUGUUUCUGGCCCUCAUAGGUCCAGCUAAAAGUCAGGACGUUUAUUAUAGAAAGGAGAACAGCAGCCUUUGGCACGUGCAUAGAAAACAUCUAUUCAGCCUGGGGAUACAGAUUGAAGGGUGAGGUAGGCUUGGUUUGACUUCUGCUUUCAGCAUCUGUACCUGUGUGAACUUGGGCAAGUUCGGAUGUUCUUGUUUGUUUCUUCCUUCAAUACUCCACGCAAAACUCCAUUGUAGAAUCCGUCAGGUCUCGUUGCAACCUACGUUUGUGUUCCCCUGUGCUUCGUUCAGUGCCCAGCCAUGGCUUGCACUUCCUAUUCUUGUAACGGUCAUGGGAGACAGUAGAUUCCCUAUCUGUGUCACAACUAUUUGCUCCUUUCCUUCUAUUUUCACUGCUUUCAUCCUCCACUUUCUUUCUUUUGUGUACCAUCUGUUUUCUCUUUGGAUUAGGUAUGCGGGAUGCAUGUAUAAUGCCCCUCUGGCACAUUAAUCCCAUUCCACUGUUAACAUGUUCCAUUCCUUUAUAAGCCCCUCCCCCUCCCACUUUUUAAAACCUUAUUAAGGUAUAUAUAAUUUACAAAUCAUAAAAUUCACACAUUUUAACUGUACAAUUAAGUAAUUUGGGGUAGUUUUACUGAGUUGUAUAACCAUCAUCAUGAUCCAAUUUUAGAAUGUUUCAGAAUAUCUUCCUUACCCCAAUAGAAUCCCUUGUGCCCAUUUACUCUUAAACACCAUUUUUUAGAAACAAGAAAAGAAAAAGCAGCUUCCUACUUGAAAUGGUAAGCCAGAAUGUAUUAUAUGACUAUUGAGAACUUAGUGACUGUUAGUGCUAUGGAGACUUCUUAUAGAAUAAAAUAUAAUACCUAAUAUCAAGGGGGGAGCUAGUUGGCAAGAUCAGACCUCCAAGACCACCGUAAGAAGUAUGUAUCCUAUUUCCAGCUUUUGUGAAUAGGCCAGUAGUAUAAGACUACAAAACUUAUCGUGAACAGAUUAUCUGAAUUUGGAAAAAUCUCUCAGACCCCAUACAGAUAUUUUUUUCUCCUUCCAGUUUUAAAACACCCUUUCUUAAACUGACUGACCAUUGAUAGUUUCCAGAAGUAUGGGCUUUUUCUAACAUCUCUUCUCUAAAUGUCAUCUUAAAUAUGUACCUCCUUCUGUUUCCAUCUAUUUGUAACCAGAAUCUAAAUUAUAGAAUUUGCAUCUUUCCAAGUAGGAUCUAACUUGCUGUUCAAUAAAUACUUCUAAUCCUAAAUGCAAAUUAUGGCCACUGUAAUUUUUCGCUUUGGGAUACUUAUGGAAAAGAGUAGUGUUUAUUAACUUUCCCUGAAUUAAAUGUAACCAGUAGCUAUUUUGGCCUUCAGGUUGUUAUUAAUGAUAAUUAACUGUGGUGAUGAAGAAUUACUAAUAGUUAUGAUCCUGAGGAGUAAAAUGAUGUAUUUCAAAGAGCUCCCUGUACCUUUAGGUGUUGAGUAAAGCAAUCCAGUCUUUUUUAUUUAUUUAUUUUUUUUCAUCCAGGAAGACACAGGCACUGGCCAUUCCUGGGUGCCAAGUGCAGAUUACUCUUCUGCCUACCCCUUUCCUGUUCUCCUCUGGAGCUUUUCUCAUGGCUAGCAGCUCAGCAGAGACACCUCCCCUAGAGGAGACAGGCGAUGUUAGGUUAAGAAAUGCUUGUGUUAGCACUUGAACACCUGCCUUCACCAGUUUUAGUUUAUUUAUUUUGAGAGACAGAGAGCAUGAGUGAGUGGGGGAAGGGCAGAGAAAGAGAGGGAGAGAGAAAGUCCCAAGUAGGCUCCACACGGGCAGCGCAGAGCCUGACACAGGGCUUGAACUCAUGAACCAACAGAUAGUGACCUGAGUGGAAGUUGGACACUUAACAGACUGAGCCACCAAGGAGCCCCAGCCACAGGUUUUAUUUUAGAUGAAGGGAAAUAGGGAAGACAAGUUGGAAUGAGUCACCUUCUUUUCAUCCUCUAGCAACACGAAUUCCCAAGUGUUGGGGGGGGCUCUGAGCAAGGAGUCCUCUGUUGUCAGAACUGUGACAGGCUUGGCUGCUCAUAUGACGGGGUGAAGAACUUGAGAAAGGAUGAACUCGAAUGCUGUGGUUCUCUACCUUGGCGGCAUAUGGGGCCAGCUGGGGAACCUUUUAAAAAUGUUCAAUGACCACCUUCAGAAUGGUUAAAUCAGUAUAUUUGGAAAUGGGAUUCAAGCAUCAGAUUUUUUUUUUUUUCUGAAGCUUGCCAAGUACUUCCAAUAUGCAGUCAAGGUCAAGAAUUACUGGGCUAGUAAUAGACCUCUCGUUUUUUUUCCCUCCAGUUUUAUUGAGAUAUAAUUGGCGUAUAACGUUGUAUUAGCUUAAGGUGUACCACAUAAUGAUUUGGUAUAUGCAAAGUGAUUAAAAGAGUUAAGUUUUGUUAAAUACCAUCACUGGCCAUCUCUUCUUGACAUGCAAAUAGCCAUCAAGCAGCAGCCCCCCCCAGGCUUAUUUGUUCCUUGCAGUCACCUGAGAUUCUUUUUUAAAUUUAUUUAUUUAAAGUCAAGUUACUUAACAUACAGUAUAGUAUUGGUUUCAGGACUAGAACCCAGUGUUUCAUCCCUUACAUAGAAGACCCAGGGCCUGUCACCCAUUUAGCCCAUCCCCCAUCACCCAUUUAGCCCAUCCCCCACCCACCUCCCCUUCGGCACCCCUCUGUUUUUGUAUUGAAGAGUCUCGUGGUUUGCUUCCCUGUUUUUGUCUGAUUUUUCCUUUCCUUCCCCUAUGUUCAUCUGUUGUGUUUCCUAAACUGCACAUAUGAGUGAAAUAAUAUGAUAUUUGCCUUUCUCCGACUGCUUUCGCUUAGCAUAAUACAUCCCAGUUCCAUCCACAUUGUUGGUAAUGGCAAGAUUUCAUGAUUUUUGACGCCAAGUAGUAUUCCAUUGUGUGUGUGUGUGUGUGUGUAUGCUACAUCUUCUUUAUCCAUUCAUUAGUUGAUGGCCAUUUGGGCUCUUUCCAUAUUUUGGCUAUUGUUGAUAGCGCUGCUGUAAACAUUGGGGUGCAUGUGUCCCUUCGAAUCAUCAUUUUUGUAUCCUUUGGAUAAAUACCUAGUAGUGCAAUUGCUGGGUCAUAGGGUAAUUCUAUUUUUAAUUUUUUGAGGAACCUCCAUACUUUUCCAGAGGGGCUGCACCAGUUUGUAGUCCCAUCAACAGUGCAAAAGGGUUCCCCUUUCUCCACAUCCUCACCAACAUCUGUUACUUCCUGAGUUGUCAGUGGUAUUUCGUUGUGCUUUUGAUUUGUAUUUCCCUGAUGAUGAGUGAUGUUGAGAGUCUUCAUGUGUCUGUUAGCCAUCUGGAUGUCUUCUUUGGAAAAGUGUCUCUUCGUGUCUUCUGACCAUUUCUUUACUGGAUUAUUUGUCUUUUGGGUGUUGGGUUUGAUAAGUUCUUUCUAGAUUUUGGAUACUAACCCCUUAUCCAUUAUGCCAUUUGCAAAUAUCUUCUCCCAUUCCAUCAGUUGCCUUUUAAUUUUGUUGAUUGUUUCCUUUGCCGUGCCGAGGCUUUUUGUCUUGAUGAGGUCCCAGUAGUUCAUUUUUGUUUUUGUUUCCCUUGCCUCUGGAGACAUGUUUAGUAAGAAGUUGCUGUGACUGAGGUCAAAGAGGUUGCUGCCUAUUUUCUCCUCUAGGAUUUUGAUGGUUUCCUGUCUCACAUUUAGGUCUUUCAUCCAUUUUAACUUUAUUUUUGUGUAUGGAAUCACCUGAGAUUAAACAUCUUUUUUUUUUUCAAAUUUUUUUUUUAAUGUUUAUUUAUUUUCGAGACAGAGAGAGACAAAGCAUGAACGGGGGAGGGUCAGGGAGAGGGAGACACAGAAUCUGAAACAGGUUCCAGGCUCUGGGCNNNNNNNNNNNNNNNNNNNNNNNNNNNNNNNNNNNNNNNNNNNNNNNNNNNNNNNNNNNNNNNNNNNNNNNNNNNNNNNNNNNNNNNNNNNNNNNNNNNNNNNNNNNNNNNNNNNNNNNNNNNNNNNNNNNNNNNNNNNNNNNNNUUCAGUUAAUCACACAGAUUCUUUUUCACACAGAUUUAUUUUUAUUCUAAAUGUCACAUAAGAAGUCUUUACAUAUAUAUUUAUAUAUGUACUUAUGUCUUUAUGUAUACAAAAUAAUAGAGACAUUCAUAAAACUCACUUUUAACAAUGAAGCAUUAUUUUAUUUUAUCACGCAGUAAUGUNNNNNNNNNNNNNNNNNNNNNNNNNNNNNNNNNNNNNNNNNNNNNNNNNNNNNNNNNNNNNNNNNNNNNNNNNNNNNNNNNNNNNNNNNNNNNNNNNNNNNNNNNNNNNNNNNNNNNNNNNNNNNNNNNNNNNNNNNNNNNNNNNNNNNNNNNNNNNNNNCCUGGAGCCUACUUCGGAUUCUGUGUGUCUCUGUCUCUCCCUGCCCCUCCCCUGCACGCUCNNNNNNNNNNNNNNNNNNNNNNNNNNNNNNNAUUUUCUCCUCUAGGAUUUUGAUGGUUUCCUGUCUCACAUUUAGGUCUUUCAUCCAUUUUAACUUUAUUUUUGUGUAUGGAAUCACCUGAGAUUAAACAUCUUUUUUUUUUUCAAAUUUUUUUUUUAAUGUUUAUUUAUUUUCGAGACAGAGAGAGACAAAGCAUGAACGGGGGAGGGUCAGGGAGAGGGAGACACAGAAUCUGAAACAGGUUCCAGGCUCUGGGCUGUCAGCACAGAGCCCGACACGGGGCUCGAACUCACGGACCGCGAGAUCAUGACCUGAGCCGAAGUCGGCCGCUGAACCGACUGAGCCACCCAGGCGCCCCUAAACAUCUUUUUUAAUGUUUAUUUAUUUUUGAAGGAAAAAGAGACAGAGCGUGAGCAGGGGAGGGGCAGAGAGAGAGGGAGACACAGAAUCUGAAAGGGGCUCCAGGCUCUGAGCUGUCUGUGCAGAGCCCCACUCUAGGCUCCAACUCACAAGCCAAGAGAUCAUGAGCUGAGCUGAUGUCAGUCUCGCUUUAGCCGACUGAGCCACCCAGGCACCCCAAAGAAUCACCUGAGAGUUUAAAAAGGUACUGAUGCCUGGACCUGUUCCUUGAGAUUCUGAUUUAAUUGAUUUGGGGUUGGGUUCUAGCAAUCAUUAGCCUUCUUCAAAGGCUCUGCCAGUAAUACUAAUGUGCAGUCAGGAGGAAGAACUGCUAAUUGGACUGGGAAUAAACAUUUUAGCUCAUAGCCAGCUCUGAGGGAACACGCUCUGUACCUGCUGGACAGAGUGCCAAGAGUUCAAGCAAGAAUGUGAAAGGGAAGGUGUAAGCACAGGAAGAGAGAAACAUGACGUGCUUCAAAGUGGGGGCCUAUGGUCAAUCCUUGUGCGUGGUGUGUGUGUGUGUGUGCGUGUGUGUGUGUGUGUGUGUGUGUGUAGUGAUGUGUGUGACAAAGAAAGAGGGAGAUUGCGAAAGGCAAAUUUGUCCCCAACCAAGAGAAAUAGGAGGAUAGAAGAUAGAACUGAGUUGGCUUUUUUUUUUAUAGUCUAUAAUUUUGGACAUUUGGCCAACGUCUCUUCAUCUGUGAGCAGAGUUGGUGCAGUUUUAUUUGCAUAAAGAAUAGAUGUGAUCCAAGUUUUCCUGAAAAGGCUCCCUAAUCCAAAAAUGUGCCUCCUAUUUCACCUUUCCCGUCAACCACCGUGGCUGAAAAAGUCCCCUGAGUUAGAGCCUUUCUUUUGGGUUAAGCCAGGCCAGUAAAUCAAUAUGAUAUCCUCUGUUGGCUUUAGAGUUUAGCUUCAUUUUUGUUGUCAAAUGCAUUUACGUAGACCUUGGCUUGGUAGGAUAUGAGUGAGAAUUUAAAAACAGACUUCUCUGGGCUUCGCUCUGAAAUUUCAGAAUUGCCUGAGAAAGAAGGGAGUUGUCCCCAGAAAGGGAGUUUCCUCAGGUGACAGAAAUAAGCCCUAACUUGAGGGAGGGGUCUAAAGACAAUGGCAAGGUAAGGUGACCAGAGGCCAACGUACUUCCUUUACAAUUAACUAAUUGCUGCGGUUGUUAUUUGCCCCAGUGAAAACCUUGAGGGUGGAGAAAUGUUUUUAUCCCUGUUUCCCAAUUCAGAGUCAACUGACACGUUCAUCUUUUAGUGCCUCAGGAUGGAAUCUAGGGUUUGGUUUGGAAAUGUUCUGGCUUGGAGCAGAGCUCCUAAUGGCUGUCCCCUGACGUGGCUUGUUUUUUGGGGUUUUUUUGUGUGUUUUUUUUGGACAUUCUGUAUUAUUGUAUUAGAUCAGCAUGUGGCUUGUUUUAGUUAAAAACAAAAUCUGAUUAUGAGCCAUUAUUUGUUUAAAUUACUGUAAGCAAACACAGGAAUUUAUUUAUUUGUAAUCUAAGAGUUGAUGUUGCGGCUUGUGGUUUACUCAGAAUUAUUCUGAAACUUCUCUCCGCUCUGCCUUUUGGACUGCUGACCACUUCAUUUAUGAGGGGUAUUUUCCUGCAACGGAAGUGAGUAGAACUUCUAGGCCCACCCGGUCCUUGCUACCUGUUGGGUCUGGUCUGCCUUCCAGGUGGGCUGGAAGUGAUAGCUAUCCAGGGCCCCAGACACCAUAUCUCUCCCCUCCUCCUAUCAGGGUGCCUUCGCUUGCCUUGGGGUGGUGUCAGUUUAAACUGCACCGGAAGGGUCAAACACACAUCAUGCGGCUAGAAUGCAAGUUAGCUCAUUGUAUUAUCUAGCACUCAAACAACUGGAGAGAGGCAAUUUCCGAGACAACAGGACCCAAAUAACGUGUCUUCAUUUGGGGCUGGGAGUGCAAUUAGUGGUUAGGGAGGGGAGGGGAGGUGUUCAGUGACUUACUUUAUACUAUCUUAACCUAUUCAUCAGAUGGGUCCAAGGUGUAAAAACAUCAAACAGAGAGAAAAAAAAAUCCAUUUUGAGCAGGUUCCCCUCCCCGACUUAACCAUCAUUUCGAUCUAAUUAAGCUACAAAGAGGGUGGCGGUGUCACUUUCUUUCUCUCAGUUUGGUCCCCAUGGAAAAGAAGAGCAUGUCGUGAAAUCAUUUACACGACAGGAGUUUGGUGGAGUAGCCCCCACAUAACCCAGUUUAUGGGGAGUUGGUGUGAACAGGUCGUUUUCUUAAGGGGGUGGGGAAAGGUAAAGCCCUAAGGUUUUCGAGCGCGCAUGGAGGGUCCCCAGCGCUCUACUCCAGGAGCAGGUGUAGGCGGGCACCAGGGAGACGCUGGCGGCGCGGCGCAGGCCCUCNNNNNNNNNNNNNNNNNNNNNNNNNNNNNNNNNNNNNNNNNNNNNNNNNNNNNNNNNNNNNNNNNNNNNNNNNNNNNNNNNNNNNNNNNNNNNNNNNNNNNNNNNNNNNNNNNNNNNNNNNNNNNNNNNNNNNNNNNNNNNNNNNNNNNNNUGGCUGCGGCAGGUCCCGAAGCACCGGAGGAGCGGCCUCACACCGGGGUGGGAAGAGUGGAAACGUGCGGCAUUGACGCUCACCGAAAUCAGGUCGUGAAACCCUACUAAUUUGACCAGCGCCACAGAGACUGAAUGAAUACCUUUACCAGAAAGGGGAUUCUCGGCUGGGGGAUGUAGCUCAGUGGUAGAGCGCGCGCUUCGCAUGUGUGAGGUCCCGGGUUCAAUCCCCGGCAUCUCCAAACAGCCGUUAUCCCUUUUCUUUUCCUAGCACAGAAAACACUACACGUAGACCUUUUGCUCACAGAACAGUAGGGCGUCCAAGAACAAUCUAACAGUGAGGCAGAGAAACAACAGCGAAGCCCAGGGAAACGGCCUUUUAAGUUGUAAGUAAAAGCGAAACCGGAAAUUGCCCCUGAUACCUCUUUCCUUGUUUGCAUAAAACCAACUUUUGGGUAUGGUUACCGUUGAACUUGCUUUGGGAUCCUAACUUACAGAGUUAGAAAGUAAAAUGAAAAGCGAGGUUGCAUUGGCCGGGAAUCGAACCCGGGCCUCCCGCGUGGCAGGCGAGAAUUCUACCACUGAACCACCAAUGCUCACAGGAGGCAGUGCUUCCCAUAUUUCAAUAGAAGAGAUAUUUCCACGUGUGCGCUGAUUCGCUUCUGUUUGUAAUUAUAUGUUUAUGUGUUCAAUAUUAAAUAAAGCAGUGGAAUCUGUAAUUAAAUAAUUAUCAUAAAAUAUUGGGAAAACAUUCAGAUUGACAAAAAAUCCAAUCCUAUUAACUUCUGUUGAACUUUAUUAAGUGAUUCUUCUGAGGCUGAUCGCGGUGAAGCAGGCAAAUGGAAAUUUUGUUAUGUGUGUACAGGAUUACACAGCUACCUAGCUGUCUCUUCGGACCUUUAGACGAUUUGUAACAACUCCUCCCUAUUUUUCUUCUGUUAUAGUAGCUAUUCAAACAACUACGUGUUCACAUUUGUUAGGAACAAGGGGUAAGGAGCUAGGACCCUGACCAAAUUAUAAGAGUAAAUUAGAACGCUGUGACCUGACUUUGAAGCAUUGGUGAUUCUAGCCAAAUGACCUAACUUCUCUAAACCGCUCUUUCUUUCAUUGUGAAUGACUUGAUCAUGGGCCCCUUUUCAACACUAAUUUUAUGAAUCAGAGCCUCUACCCAUAGGAUACUAUACAUCAAGAAUACUAGAGUGGCGUUGGAGAAAAUCAUAAAAGAUUAAUGACUAACCUAAGAACUCCCACAUUAGGAUUUAUUUUUAAGAAGUUUUUACUGUGUGAAUAGAGAGCAAAAUUUGAAGAUAAAUACAUCAUGAAAUUAUGAAGACAUAGAAGAUAUGAAGACGUUAGGG
This 46651-nucleotide long non-coding RNA is filed under the name Lynx pardinus (Iberian lynx). The stretch from base 45464 to 45535 matches the Rfam family "tRNA". Lineage: Eukaryota; Metazoa; Chordata; Mammalia; Carnivora; Felidae. The record is from RNAcentral.